RNAcentral lists this long non-coding RNA (83597 nucleotides) under Gossypium barbadense (sea-island cotton). RNAcentral describes it as "long non-coding RNA (GBAR_LNC020115)". The record is from RNAcentral. Lineage: Eukaryota; Viridiplantae; Streptophyta; Magnoliopsida; Malvales; Malvaceae.
CACUUCUCUUCUUCAGUCUCUUCCCAACUGCUAUUCCUGACCAGAACAGUCUCCAUGCUGGGUGCCCGGUGAUUGAAGGUGAGAAAUGGUCAGCCACAAAAUGGAUUCAUGUUGAUUCAUUCGAAAAGAACUUAGACAUCGGUGGUAACUGCACGGAUUUGAACGAGAGCUGUGAGAGAUGGGCUGCUCUUGGUGAGUGUACCAAGAACCGAGAAUAUAUGAUCGGAACUGCAGAACUUCCUGGCUAUUGUAGGAGAAGCUGCAAAGUAUGUUGAAGGUAAACUACAAGCUUCAAUGAUAGUAUAUCUGCUGCUGCAUUUUCUGUUGUAAGUUUUUUAUUGCUUUUUUUUUUUUAGUUUUUGGAUUCAAAUUUACAUUCUUAUGCUACAGUUUUCACAAACAUAGUUGAAAUCCAUGUAUUCUAAACCUUACUUUCAACUUGGUUAACAUAUCCCCCCGGAAGCUUCAGAUUUGUCGUAGUCUUUUUAGAUUGCUAGCGUUUCACUUUCAGCUGAAAUCUGAAAAUAAUUUUUUCCAUAUUGUACUUUUGAUUUUAAAUAGCAGUAUAUGGAUGUAAACUUUCUUCAACCAUGGACUUUAUUUUGCUUUCUCUUUUAAUCUGUAGGUUCUUGGCUAGAGUGAGUGUUGUUUAUGUUAUGGUCCUGUUAUGAAUUUUAUAUCGAAUGUAUACUUAGAGUUGGUCUUAAAUUCUGCGGACUAAAUCGUAAGGGCCACGGGCUGAAGCUGACAAUACGUUGCAGUUGAGUGUAGAGUACUAGUGAUAUGCCAUUGAAGCUAGUUUGUGUAGAUGAGCAAUGAAUUUCACAAUGGUUGCAUACUAGAUUUGAUACUAGGAUGUAAGUGUUUACACAACCUUUACCUAGAUGGAAGCGGAUAAUACCUUUCAAGUUUGUGUAGAGUGUGAUAGUUUAGGUGAAUUAUCAUGAAACUAGGAUUGAGGGUUACCCAUGCUAAAGGUUUUGGAUCAUGGAAUGACUCAAAGAUUUUUAGGAUCAACUUUAAGGCAAACCUUAUGGGUCGAUUUUUUUUUUUUUUUUUGGAAAUACAAUAAUGUUUUGAUAUUAUAAAUAAAAAUUAUAAUUCCAAAAAGCAAAUUUUCAUAAUUAUUGAAAAAUUUUCAAAUUUCCAUCAUGCAAAUAUAUAUUGUUCAUGUUAAAACCGGUUGAUUUUACAGUUUAAUUCUGAGUUAAAUAGAGCUUGCAAAACAAGCCUGAGCUCCAAAGUUGGCUUGGAUUUUAUAUCUGAUUAGCCAUUAUAGAUAUUAAUAAUUUUAUGGUAUUAUUUUAAAAAUAAAUAAAUUAUAUAUAUUUUUUGAAAAUGUAUUCAUAAGUAGAGGUGCUUAUGAGUUAGGCUUGGGUUGGGUCUAUACAAGGUAUUUAGAUCAUUUUUUUAAGUCUUAGCUUGGCUCGAAAAAUGGGUUUGCUUUUUUGCUCAAGCCCGAUUCAGUUUAAUGAAGGUAAAUUCGGGCCUAACUUGACUCGCUCAUAUUUUAUUUUUUAAGAUUAUUUUUAUUUAAAAAUAAAAAAAAUUAAAAAUCUAAUACACUAAAUGCACUAAAAAUGUUAAAAUAAAAGUUUUCUAACAAAUUAAAAAUAUAUUAAAAAGUAUUUAUAUUAAAAACAUUAUCAUAAAUAUAAUGAAUGUUUUAUUAUAUUAAAAAACACAAAUUAAUAUAAUUAAUAUUUUAUUGUAUAUAAUUUUUAAAAUUUUAUAUUUUGGGUUGGGUUAUUUAGUUGAGUAAGUUUUUUUUGUAUGGUUUUGGGUAAUGAGUUUAAUAGUUAUUGGGUUAGUGAUUUAAUAUAAAUAUAAAUAUAUAAUUAAUAUAAUAUUUUUAUAACAUAAUAUAUUCGGUCAAUUCAUGUCAGGUUCAGGCCAAAAAAAUCUUACCCAAAGCUCCGCUUAUAUAAAAAAUAGGCUUCAAAUUUUACUUAAGCCUAUUUUUUAACCUUGUAUUUUUGUCUAAACUUUUCUAUUUUUUAAACAGAUUUUUAAGCCCAGACAAGUGGUUUGGCCCAUAAGUAGGCCUGUUCAUAAGCAUUGCAUAUUUAUAUUAAUAUUUUAUUAAUAGGAAAUGUAAUUAAUAGUAAUUUUUUUACCUUAAAUUAUAAAGUGAAAUAAUUUUUUAAAAAUAGUAAUUUAAUAGAAAAUGUUUUUAAUACUAUAAUUAUAUAUGUAUCAUAAAUAUAUAAAAUUAAUAAAUAUUAAAAUCUAUAAAUUUAAACUUAAAUGAUAAUACAAUAAUACAUUAUAUAAUUAUUACCGAAACUGAUUACCUAACUUUACCUUCAUCUGUUCUACUAAAUUAGCAUAUUACGAGUACAUAAAAUAAUAUUAUAAUAUAUAACUAAUACUAAAAAUAUUAAUACAUAUAUAACUAUUAUUAUAAUAUAGAUUAGAAUAAAAGAUAUAUUAUUACAUGAGAUUAUAAUGUUUAAUAUUUUUGCACAUAUAUAAACUAUUAAUAGAUGAUAAGAUAUAGCAUUAUAUAAUAUAGUAGGAGGACUAACUGUACGAAAUAUAUAAGGACUUAGAGCAUAUUUCAACUAGUAUAACAAUGAUAUAUGAUAAUAUGUAAUAUAUAAUGUACUAUUAUUAUAUUAUAGAUUAUAAUAAAAGAUAUAACAUCAACAAUUAUGUCUCAUUUAGUACAUUAAAAUACAUUUCUAUAAUUACAACUAGCAAUAUAUAUAAUAUUAUUAAAAUUUUAAUAUAUUAAUAAAAUAUUAUUUUCUAAAUUAUAUAUUGAAUUGGGAUUUAGCUUUUGCAAAUUAUAUUUGAGUAUUGGGUCUAAUUACUUUUUAUUUUGGACUUAUAAUUAAUUUAUUUUGAGUUUGAGUAAUAAUGAGUGUAAGGCCCAAUUUUUGCCCGGACCCACAUAGAUAAUAAUAAUACCAAAUAAAAUGUAAAGCCCAAAUCCAAAUAGCCCAAGACACAUAAACCCUAGCAGCAAACCUAGCGCCACAGCAACCUCACCUCAACGUUGCAGCACUCCGCACGUUUUCCUUCCCUCGCACGCCUCCGCAAAUGUCGCACACUCCGCGCACGUCUUUUACGUUCUGCAACAGACCACGAACAGUAGAGAUAGCAGAAAAUAUAGUAAAAAUUAAAUAGAUUUUAUUUUUUAUUUUUUAUUUUUUAUUCUUCUCUAAGAUUCGGUUAUAAAGACCGAUGGAGGCUUUUGAGGGAGGAAAAGAAAACAAGAAAUUGAGAAGAGGGGUUAAGCAUAUUGAAUCAAAAAAGAAAGAAAUUAGUGUAAACGAAAUACAAAGGGAGAAAAUAAAAAUAGCAGUGGGAUUGAAGGUGAUUUUCUGGGUCUAUUUUCUUCUUGCUCAUUGAUUUCUUUGCUUGUUUUUUUUCUUUGUGCACCAAACAAAAAUAAAAGAAAGAGGAGAAAUCAUUACCAAAAGAGGCGCGCCGUCGACAUCUUUGCUUCUCUUCGUCUAAAUCGAAGUUGAAAUGGGGGAGGUCGGCUUGAAGAACAGAGGAGAGGAUGGAGCAGUUCUUGAGGCUGCUGUUACCGCAAAUGGAAUAGGGUUUUAAUUAGAGUUUGAAAUGGGUUUUAACUUUUAAGCAUUGAUGGGUUAUUUGUGUUUUUAAUCCUUCCAUUUUAUCCCAUCAUUUCAAAACCAUUUUUUUUGUUUUCAAAUUUUUCCAUGAAAUAUCGAAUCUGUUUUAUUUUAGUCCAAUAUGGCGCAACGUUUUGGGUGGUUUGGGUAAAUUUCUCUUUGGGUCCUCCUCCUGUUGCGCGCGUUUUGAUUUGGUCCCUUUUCGUGUUUUCUAUUUUUGAAUUCAGCCUUUAAAUUCUAUUUAUUUUCAUUUUAAUCCUUAAUCUAUCAUUUUAGGUUUUUUUAUUUUAAUAUUAUUAAUACCAUUAUAUUGCAUUAUUAUUAUUAUUACGUUUUUAUUCCAAUUCCUAUACAUAUACACACGCAUAGUUUUUAAUAUAUAUAUGCAUAUUUUCUUUAUAAUAUAUAUGUAUAUAUUUUAAACUUUUGUAAAUACAUGUACAUAUUUUAUAUAUAUUUUAUUAUUUUAUUUUCAUAACUUUUAUAUACAUGUAUAUAUAUACAUUUACAUUUUAUAAUACAUAUAUAUUCCAUAUUUUAUAAUCCAUGCAUAUACAUGCAUUUUCUAUAAUAUAUAUGUGUUCCUUUUUUUAGAAAUUAUUAUAAGUUUUUUCUUGUAUAUAUUUCAUUCAUUUUUUAUAUAUAUGUAUGCUCAUAUAUACGUAUUUAAAUAUAUGCAUAUACAUAUUUUCAAAUUUUAUUUAUAUAUCAUACUUGUAUAUAUACAUAUUGUGUAAAUACAUAUACAUAUAUAAUUCAUAUUAAAGUAUUUGUUUUAUGUUGUAUAUUAACAUUUUAUCAUUUUUUUUAAAAAAGAAAAUAUAUUUGGUUUCAUCAAAGCAUUAAAACUAUUUUUGUUCAAAGGUUUUCAAAAUAAGGCAAUAUUCGAUAUUUGGGAUCUUUGAGAGGAUUGAGCCCUUAAGUAUUGGGUUCCAAUUUUCUUCGUUGAAUCUAAAUAAUCGGGAAUGCUCUUUAAUAAAAAAACAUAAAAAGCUCAUUAUCGGGAAUUCAAUACGUUGUGUCCUAACGCGUUGGAUAUGACGCAUUGUUUUCUCGAGAUGAGGAUUUUUUAAAAAAUAAUAAAGGCAAUAUUCCGUAUUUGGGAAAUUCGAGUGAUUGUGCCCUAACUUAUUGGGUUUCGAUUUUUCUCUUUUAAUCCAAAUAAACGAAUAUCCUUUGAAAUUUAAAUGCAUGGGUUUUAAAAAUCAAAAGACAAACUUAAUUUUGAAGAUUAAAAAUGUUGCGCCCUAACUCAUUGGGUGUGAUGUUUUAUUUCUUUAAAAUAAGAAUGUUUUAGUAUUUUAAUUCAUUCGAGUUAAAAAGUUUUCUUUUAAAAUCUUUUCAAAUUUUCGACACCAAGAUGUUAAACAAUCAAUUCGAUACCGAUUUUGGGUGUUACGAGGGUGCUAACCUUUCCUCGUGCGUAACUGACUCCCGAACCUGAUUUCUCAAAUUUCUUAGACCAAAAUCGUUUUUAAGGUGAGCCGAUCACACCUCAAUCAAGAAUCAGUGGCGACUCCUAUUUUUGUUUUUUAAAGUCGACAACUAAAUUUUUGUUUUCAAAAAAAUAGUUUCGACAGAUUGGCGACUCCACUGGGGACGGUUAGAGAGUCGAGCCGUAAAUUGAUUAGUUUUUGUCUUUUGAUCAAAAAAUCAAAUUUUGUUUUACAUCAUGAUUUCCCCUUUGCAUUCAUUGGUUUUCAUUGCUUGCUUAAUUGGUCUAAGUCCGUUAGUCUAUUUGCAUUUUGCAUUUCAUGGUCAAUUUUUACCCCUUUAAGUGGGAGUGAGAAGCUACUCCUUCAUGAGGUUUUCACCUCCGUGCAGGAUAGUGGAUCACUUUUGGGAUACAUCCAUACUUAUGUCUUCGUGAGAUUUUUAUCUCCGUGCAGCCAUAGGGAAAUAUAUUCCCCUAAACCGAACUCGGUCCAUAUGAGCCUAUAAUGGGUGAGGAUUGAGGAAUCUCCUGGUUCGGGUACCCUUGCUCUAGAAGCCAAACCUCAUAUAGUGAACCUUAAGAAUUCACCUUAGGUAGAAUUACUCUGAACCUUAGUAGAUACCUGACGAGGAGUUUUAUUAUUUCUUGAUUGUAUUGGAUUUAAUGUUUAUUCUGAUACUAACUUAUUGUGCUUUGUUUUGACUGCAUGGCAUUUCAUUAUAGAAAAGAGGUGUUGAUUCACGUUCGACUGCUAAAUAGAGAGCUUGUCAUGAAAAACAGAUUUCUUGAUAAAAGUGAAAGACAAUACAAUUGCCCGAAUAUAGCCCAAGAAAACAUGAUGUGAAAAGGGAAAUAGUCUAACAAAUGAGUACAUGUCCUGGUUUCAUUGCCUAAAGAUUCAAGUUGACAAAGAUUAUUCAAGAGUCAUCAAACGUCCCAACCUUUCUAAAAGGAGCUAAUGAGUAUGAGUGAACAAGGAGUUGCGACACGGAUCAAGCAAAAAGGAGCUAACAGUGGCAUCCAUUGGAAAUUUGCAAGAUUUAUCUUAAACAUACGAAUGAAGAAAGAGAUCGAUGUUUCUUGAAGUAUAAGGACGAGGCCGUAUAUAUUUUCGCUUUAUGUAAAGAAAUUUGUAUUCUAGUAAAGUUUUCUAAGCGAGAUUGAAUAAGAAUCAACGUCUCUUUUUGCAUUCAUCUCAUGCAUUUGCUUUACAUUACAUCAUAUACAUUAAACACCACCAAAAGAUCCUAAUUGAUUAAAAUUAUCUCAGUUAACCUGGGAACCAACCAACCAACCAAACACCGUUGUGGUAUACGGGCAAAAUAAAAAACAUGGACCAAAGAUUAGAAAUGCUCAAACAGUUCCAAAAAGAAAUGCAUGAUUAACUUCAGCAGCAAAUACAAAAGCAGCUCGAGUAUAUUAUUUGGGUUUGGGUUUAGUGUAAUAUGUUUGGGUUUUGAGAUAAAUAUUUUAGAAUAUGAGUAUUAGGUUUAUAAAUUUAAUAAGAAAGUUAAAAAAUUAUUUAAUUGUGAAUAUAAUAUAAUAAUGAACAAUAAAAGAUAUUUUCAUUAAUUCAUAUAAUAUCAUAAAAUAAUAAAUUUUGCAUACAAUAAAUAUUUCAAUUAUUUUAUAUAAAAUAAAUUUAUUAAAUAUAUAUAAUUUAUACUUUUUAUAAGAAAAUUUUGAAUCUUCAUUAUCAUCCUAUAAAAAUCAAAUGAAUGAUUACAUUUAAAAUUAAAAUAUUUAUAGCUUAUAAAAUUCAAAAUUAUUUGAAUUCAUCAGAGCAUGCCUGAAUUGAUCCAAACCCAAAUUCAAAAUAAUUCAAACUUAAAAAAAUUGAAUCCGAAAUAAACCCGAUCCGAGCCUAAAUAAAUUACUGAUAAAAAAAAAGGUAAAGGUAGAUGCUCAACUUUCAACGGUUUCUAUCAUACUUCAACUCCUUUUAAUUGGAUGCCCCAACAGAUUCUCUUAUCUUCAAUGUCAAUGCUAGUUUUCUUUCAACUCCAAUUUAUACUAUUUUUGUAUAUUUAAAGUUUAUUUCUUCAUUUAUUUAUUUUAGAAUUGUAACACUUUUUUUAUAUAAAAAUAUUACAUACAAUUAAUAUAUUUAAAUAAUUAUAAUCAAAAAUAUAUUCAGACCUAUAUCAUAAUAAAUUUAAACAUAAUCUAUAUAUGUGCGACUUAAAUACACAUAAUUUACAUAUAAUAAAACUCAUAUCUAAAAUAUCAAAAUAUCAAUCUUAUCAUUAAACUAAUACCUAAAAAAAAGCUAAGACUUCAUAUCUUUCAUUUGACUUAAAUCAAUAAUAUUGAGAAAAAAAAAUUAUAAAUUAUUUUUUUUAAAUACUAUUAUUAAUAAAAAUCGUAAAUAAUAAUACAAAGACAUGACAUAUAGUACAAAAAAUAAAUGAAUUGUUAUAAAUUAAUGCACAAAUAUCAUGUCUACAGAAUAAUUUCAAAAAAAGAAAAAAGAAGAGAAGGACAAACGAGCAAUAACCGCAAUACUGGGAUAAUUCAAAAACAAACAAGAGAUGCAUCAUCCUGAUCAAAUCGUUGAAAUUUGCAUUCUAGUCUCGCCAUCAUCAAAUCGACCUGACGAUAAAUACCAAUCAACUAAGAAAAACUACCAAAAGCCCCAAGAGACCCGUUGCAUCAGUAAUCCUCAAAAGGCCAAGUCUCAUAUGGCCUAUCCACCUCAUCAUAUCGGAUCUAUCACCAUCACUAUGAUCUAUCAUGAUAAAGCCCUUCAAGAAUGGUUCCUAAUAGAUCUGGCAACACCCUUAUAUUAACAAAUCUCACAUAUAUGCCAAAACAUGACUAAAAAAAUAAAAACUAAAACCACAUCUACUUUCAAAGAAAACAUAAUGAAGAAAAACAAAAAUCACGAAAAAUGUGGACAAAAUAAAACAAUAAAAUUGUAGAUAAAAUAAAACCACAAAAUUGUGGAUAAAACCAUGGUAAUGUGGACUAAAAUUAAAAAAAGAGAGAGUAAAACUACAAAAAUAAUGUUGAAGAAACUGCAAUGAGCAAUUAGCUUGAAGCCUGGCACCGCCAUCGGCAAAGCAAAGAUAAAUUUGAAAAGGUUGAACGAUUAGGGUUUUUAUAUAAAAAGAAGAGAUAAAAAAAUUAAAUAAUACGUGUUUGAAUUCAUUUUAAAAAUACUUAUAUUUUGUCUUCAAAAAUCAGCAAAUAUCAUUGUAAAGGCUGUUUAGGCAAUUUUAAUAUUUGAUACCAUAUCUUUAAUAAAAAAAAUAUAAUCAUUUUCUAGGAAAAUAAUUCAUUUUAAAAAAUAGAACUACCACGUGAGUUAAAGACAAUAAUUGACGAUGCUGUUGAAGCGACAUCCCAAGAAUCGGAUAGGGUUGAAGAUUUUGAAUCUCUUAAGGACAAUGAUGGAUCAAUGUGCUUGAAUGCUUGAUAGUUUUAGUAUUGGUCCUUUUCACAGUUUUAUUUUAAUUAGACAUAAUGAUAUAUUUAUCCCUAAAUAUUUAUAUUUUUUUGUCAAUUUAGACCUUAUUCCUUUUUUUAUUAUCUAAAUUUAGCCCUCAACCUUUCAAAAAAAGUCAAAGAAAAUGUUAACUAAUACAUUAAUUUUUAACGAUGUUAGCGUGACAAUUCAUGUGGCGGCAGCCUACGUGUACUUCAUGUUGAUAUAACAUUAUUUAUGUUAUAUACCAUGUUAAGAAAUAAUUUAAAAUUUAUAAGAUAUUCUCGAGUGGGUGGAACCUUUGAGUUUCUCGAGUGGAAUUUGGGUUGCUUGGGAUGAGUAUCAUUUGAAUAAUCUUUGUUGAGGCAAUUAUGAAUAGUACCACGAGCAGUGCCCACUGUUGUCUAGCAUUAAACUUCGUAACUUGUCAUAUUUGGAGUUGGAAAUUUUUGUUAACAAAGUCUUUGGAUAGUGAUCUCUUUCAAUACUUUAGACAUGUGCAAGCUCAUCUAUGAUAUCCAAACCGAUUAUAAUAACAUAUCUUGAAGAUUAGAUUGGAAUAGAUCAAACAAAUCAAAUUCUCUAUUUUAAGGAGAUUGGAUUGGAUCAUAAACUUGGUAAUAUAUCCUAAAGAUUUGAAGACUUAUCAUGGAUUUAUUGAAGAUAUUCUUUGUGCUAAUUAUCUUUCUACUUUGAUGUUAAGAUUGAUUGUAAUUGAUCUUUGUCUUAACAAGACUUAAAUUCUUAUAUAUUGAAAGGCUUGUGUAUGUAAAAGUAUAUGGAGAAUUUUAGCACUUAUUCUACUAUUUAGAACUUGUUUUUUAGAGUGCAUUUUAUAAGUAACCAAAUGAAUCACUUGGUUUACAAACCAAUUUUUCAGGGUGAAAACUUAAAGCAAAGUGAUUUAGAUCUUAGGUGCAAAAGUGAGGUUGCCAAUUUGGUAAUUGAUACGAUCCGCCUCGAUGUUGAGUCGAGUCGUAUUUGAGUUGCCCGAUCGUCGACGAGAAAGUUUCGUUCGGUUUCGAAAAUAGAUGAAUUUUGGUUAAGUAUGGAAUUGUAUGUUGGAAUAAGUUCAAGGUGGCUAAAAGAUAGAUGGAUUUUAGAUGGAAUAACUUUGGAUGAGCUCAGUUUAACAAAGAAGUAGGAUAGAAAAAGUAAGUGAUGGAGAUGAAUAAUAGAACUUAAACAUCAAGAAAUAUUUUAUACUAUAAUGAGUAUCGCCCCAAAUCUUAUAUGGUUUAAGGUGACAGUUGGGAAUAGGUUGAUGGACCUCGACCCGUUACUUAGCAAAGUAGGAACCGAAGGUAUAUUUAGAUAGAUGAACUCCACACCAGGGUUGGUGAUAAGUUCAGAAACAAGUUCAGGAUGACGCCACUAGCUCACUAGAUAAGUCACUCGAGACUCGUACGAAAUUGGAGAGGAAGUUAACCUCACAGAAACAAAGUUUCAUUAAAAAAAUUGGCAAAAAGUUUAGCAAAAGUCCCUUUACAAAGGCUGAUUUCAUCUAUUUAUAGUGCUAAAAUAGGCUAGCCGAAUGGUCACAAACAUUCAACUUAAUGUGCCAUUUAAAAACUGAAAUAAAACUCAAGUCUUUUCACAUUCUUGAGCCAAAUAACUCCAUUCUUGAAUUCACUUCAAUUCAGCUGAAUGAAUGACUUUAAUUGCUUGAAAAAUGACUCUUGAGUUAGCUCUUGGCCAGCCGAAUAGACACCAACUUAUUAACCAUCUCCUUAAUGGUAUCUGAAUGCUUGAAUUAACCUUUGAAAUAGCAAAAACGGGCUAGUAGUUGAAAAGGUUGUUGCCAAAAUUAAAUAGAUGAUAUAAUGAUCCUUAAAACCUCUUUAAAUGAUGUAUAAACCUCCUUUGUAACAGCUCCUUCUUUUGUAUUCAAAUAGCACUUGUAAGGUCACUUCAAUUAAGUUGUAACAACUUUGAAUUGUAACGGUUAUGACCUGAUAAGACUCCUACAAUAAACACAUUAAAAUGAGCUUAUUAAACACAUGUAAACACUUAUUAAACAUAACACACAUCAAUACUUAACUUAAGUAAAUGAACUAAAACAUAUGCAUCAAUUAUUCCAGCAAUUAGUUAAUUAAAGAAGCAUAAUUAAAUGAACUUAACUCAUGCAUCAAUAAAUAAUCCUAGUAACUAGAUAUGCAUCAAUAAAUAAUCCUAGUAACUAGAUUAAUUAAGAGCAACACUUAUUAAAUAAAGUUCAACAAAAACACUUAUUAAUUAAACUAAGAUGAGUUGAAUAAAUGUCCAGCAACUCAUUUAUUAAACUAAGAUGCUUAAAUGCAUGGUUUGAAAUGCAAACUAUAUGAACAAAUGAGUUACUUAAUGCAAGACUUAAUUUAAUGAUGCAGACUUAAACUAACAUGGGAGUUACAUAAUGCAUGUCAUUAUUUAUGAUGCAUACUUAACUAGCAUGGAAGUUACAUAAUGCAUAACUUUAUUAAAUGCAGAACACACAAAAUGCAAGUCUAAAAUUAAAAAUAUGCAAACUUAUUAAUUUAAAUAAAACUAUAUUGUAAUAAAAAAAAAGUCCUUAAAAAAAUUGGCCCAAUAAUCAAUUAGGCCUAAGAGAUGUUUCAUCUUGCACUUGGGCCCUUCAAGUUUAGGCCAAUCCCGAUGUCGUCGAGAUGUAUCGAAACAUGAUGCGACCAGGUUUGCAUUAGUAAUUGUUAGAACUUGUAAUUACUUGUUUUACGAGGUGUUAAGAAAGUGGAUUAAAUCUAUGGGCUUCUCUGGGCAAAGCUCUACAAACGUAGGAAAAUUGAACUGCGUAAAGAAUUGCUUUGUGUUCAUCUUUGUUCUUCAGCAGUGCUUGAAGAAAUUGGCAUUGCUCAAACAAUUUUGCAAAUAUCAACUAUAGGUUUCAAUAAUUGGUAUCAAAGCCUCCCUCUUAAUGUAGCUAGUGGUGUUUCCUAGUGUCGAUAAUUCCUUGUAGUGGCUGGUUUUUCAAUUUCAUGUCCCCCUAUGUUUAAUGGAUUGGAUUAUUCCUAUUGGAAGGAACGCAUGAGAACCUUUAUAAAGUCUAUUGAUGAGAAAUUUUAGAAGACUAUUUUAUUAGGUUGGGAGCCAUCUAUGAAAGAAAUAGAUGGAGUUUGAACCAUCAAACUAAAAACCACUUGGACUACAAAUGAAGACAAAACAUCCAAUUUUAACUUAAAGGCAUUAUACGUUAUCUUCAAUAGUGUAGAUCUUCAAGAAUUCAAGCGCAACUUCAAGUUUAUUUUUGUUCAUGAGGCUUGGACCAUUCUUGAAAGAUCCCAUGAAAGAGCUAACACCGUAAAAGCAAUCGAAGCCAUAGAUGUUGGCCACCAAAUUUAAGACACUCAGUAUGCAUGAAAGUGAGACUCUUGGUGAAUUUUAUGCCAAACUGUAUGAUUUAUCAAAUUAGGCUUUCGCACUUGGUGAUGAAUAUUCAAACUCGAAACUAGUGAGGAAAGUCUUUAGAUCUUUGCUUGAACAUUUUUCAAUCACAGUGACUAUAAUUAAAGAGACUAAGGAUGUUGAUAUAAUGAAAUUUGAUGAGCUCAUUGCAUCUUGCAAAUAUUUUAAAUGAAUCUUGAUGUGCCAAUGAAGAACACAUUAAAAUAUGAGAAGAGUAUAGCUUCACAAAUUACAGCACCAGUGGUAACUGCUGAUAACAUUGCUAUUAAAGAACAACAAAAGUAGAUUGCUUUGCUUACUCAACUUCAACAAAGUUGUUAAGGAGAUGUCUAAAAGAAACAAUAAGUGUGAUACAACCAAAAGCUUUCCCAAAAAAAAAUAUAAGUGUAAUGAUCAAUGAAGAGGAUUAGGAGCAUGUUGCUCUUAUUGUUAAAACUGAAAGUGUUGCCUCCAGUGUCGCAAGCAGUGGCAAUGAUUCCCAAUCAACAUAAGACUUUAUGGAUAUAUACAAAACCGUUCUUGAAAAAUGGUAUCUUGUAUAUAAAAUUAAUGCUAAUGUUACUGAUGAGAGUUUUAUUCUUAAACAAGAAAAUCAAAUGCUAUUGAAAGACAUUGAAGAAAAAAACUCCAUUCUAGUAGAAAAAGAAGUUGAAUUCAGUGAAACUUUAGAAGAGCUUGCAGUAGCCUAGUAUACCUUGAAAAAGAUAGGAUCAAGAAGCAAGAAAUAGACGAGAUCUUUAUUGUUGGAAGAAGAGAACCAAGAAAAAGUGGUAUUGACAAUGUUGAGAAGAAGGGGAAAUCUAUGAUGAAAAGUCCAACAAUUUUUGUUAAAGCAAAAAAUAUUGUCAAUCAAUGUGAAUGCUCCAAGAAGCUUGUUUUGGUUCAAGCUGAAUAGAAGGUGAUCUUUAUCAUCAAGUUAUUUGUCAUUAUUAUGGAGUUCAUAGUCAUAUUAGACCUAGAUGCUUCAAAGUGUUGAGAGUUCAAAGGUGAAAGCAAGUACUGAUAGAAUCAAUGCCCACUACAUUUGAAUUGCUCGAGGUCAAAGUAAAAAAUCUACAUAGAAGAAAAAUGAGAGGCCAUGAGGAGCAUAAGAAGAGAAUGAUUAUGUCAUUAUUGUAAUAUGGUUGGUGAUAUAAAUAGACCCUUUUCCACCCUAGAAAAAUAACUCAUUACACAUUUAGUUAUUAGCUUUUACAAGCUUUCAAAGAAUUUUGUAUUUACGUUUUAAGGGUUCUUAUUUCGGGUUUCAGGGUUUAGUUUUAUCUCUAUCUUUUGUACUCUUUGUUUUUGCCAUUUUAGUGAAAUUAUCUUUGUCCGUGAUUUUUUAUCCUCUUCGGAGGGGUUUUUCCACAUAAAAUUUGUGUUCGAUCUUUUCAAUUUCUUCGUUAUUUUACUUGUUCGUUACUUAACCGAGUUUAUCCCCAACAACUUUUAAUACACAAAUUAUUUUUUAUACAAUAUUAAAAGUAGGGAAUAACGGUCACACGGUUUAAAACCAUGUCAAAUGAGUGUUUACAUUGCUAAAUUCAAAUUUUGCUUACACUUAUGGUAAUUUAUAUUUGUUAUCAAUACAAACGUACAUUUCACAUUAAAAAUUACGGAAUAUUAUGUUGAUUGUCAACAUUUUUCUAACUUUAAUGUAAAUAAAAUUUAGAUAACCCACAAAAAGUUUUGAGAUAUUUUAUUGCGAUUUUGAUAUAGACACAACGCUUUUUUAUUUCGAAAUCUGAAUACAAUAGUCAUAAUUUUGUUUCGUAUUAAAUUAUUUUAUUUAAGAUCUAUUCAUAUUUUUUAUUUUAAAAAUAUUUUAAUUACCACACCAUCAUCUCAGACUAGUGUUUUAAAUAAAUAUCAACACUUGUAUAUUCAUGUUCAAGGGGGAGAUUAGAAAUUUUGUACUUACAAUAACAUUAAAUUAUAAUUUUAAAAAUAUGGAUAUUAUGUCAAUACAGGAGGACAUCGUAUUGUCCUCAAAUUUAUGAGUUGGGAGGAACUAUAGAUAGUUCUAGGCAUUAUGUCAGAAAAAAAAAUAUGAUCAGAACUUAUAAUGAAAUCAUCCAAAAAUAAAAAUAUUAUUUUUUAUAGGUUUGAAAUCUCCCUGUUUAUGUCAUAUUAUAUAUUUUUUAUUUUGUUGUAUUCAGAAUUAUUAAAUCGACUAAAUAUUAUGGUAUCUUCUAUAAACAAUGGGAUGGAGGAGAUGUUAUUGUGAUUUUAAGGCCAAAGUGCAAGUAAUGGAAUAUCCACCAUAACAUUAUUCAAUUAUAUAUAAUAUUCUCUACAACAAAAUAAUUGUUGAGAAAAUGAAUAAAAUAUUAUCAAUAUGAUGAGUUGAUUUAAUCCAUUAAUAUUAUUAAGAUUUGAGUUUCAACAAAUAUCUCAUUUUUUAAUUAAUCUUUAAUGUCACCCAAUAAAAUUAACGAUAUGUCUUCAUUUUAGAAUGAGAACCGGUUCAAAAUCAAGGAUUUAUUUAUUUGAAUAAAUUAAAUUAGACGUUAUUUUGAAAAUCUUGACUAAGAUAAUCUCUCCACUUUUUUUAAUUAAUAUGAUAAUGGUUGGUUGGGGGUUGGUCCAGCUGUCCCUUGUUUAUUGAUGAAAAGACAAGUUGGUAUAGAACUAAGAUUAGCUGUAGUAAAUCUUGAUCUUAAAAUUAGUCACCAUCCAAUAAUCUUGAUGCACACUUUUGCCACAAAACAAAUAUUCAUUUGCUUAAAUUUAAUUCAAAGAAAAUGUACAUCUGCAUCAAUAGGGUUGGGCUUCAUCUAUUGUUGAUAUUGUUUGGAUUGUCAAAGUUAGAGAGUAAUAGUGCAAAGAUCGAGUGACUAAUGUGUAAAUUUGUAAAGUUACUAAUUGUUCAGAGAUAAAUUUAUAAUCUUUUGAAAUUGAGCGAUCAAAUUAUAAACUUACCUAUAAUUGAGUGACCAAUUUAUAAAUUUAUCAGUCUCACAUUCGUUACCAACUUAACUACCAAUAAUCAACUUGUAAUUUUUAAUUUAUAAUAUAACUUUAUCACGUAUAUAUAUUUUAUAUGAUAAAUUAAAUCUUUAUAGGGACACUUUUGAUAAAGAUAAUCUUUAUAGAGACGCUCAAAAUCUACAUCUCGGAAAAAUAGUUUAGAAAAGUCAAAUUUAUUAUGGAUGACAUAACUGUCAAUAAUUCAUUCAUUUAUUUAAGGUAAUUACGAUGGGGUCAUUAUGAUAUUUUAUUAUGAUAAAUAAUCCAGUUCUUUAUAGCAAUAAUUUGAACUAAUAUAUAAAAUCCUACAAAAAUUUAAUUAGUUUUAUAAACAUUUAAAAUUAAGAUAUGACAAGUCAGCAUGCUAUGUUGAAUUUUUAUUUUUCUUUUCAAAUGUAUAAAUAAUUUCUAUACAUUUUCUGAUAAAGAAAUAUAAAAAACAAACAAUAAUUUCUAUGCUAAUUUAAAUUAAAACGCAGUCAUUUAGAGUAAUUUUAUAAAAUAAAAGAAUCUCUUUCUUCUUUCCUUUUUAUGAAUAAAUAAUUUAUAAUUGAAAUAUAAAACUUAUAUUUGGUAUGAUCCUAUAAUAUUUUACUUAUUUUUAAUAAAGAGAUAAAAAAGAGAGAGUAGAUAUCGUGAGCUCAGAAGUCAUUUAUACGUCAACCCAUGUGUUGGCAACAUAAAAAAGGAAAUUAACCAUGAAAUUUGCAUUCGUGUUUUAAUAAUUUAGAAGGGAGAGAGAGAGAGAGAGAGGGGGGGGGGGUAUGAUUUUGUAAUAGAAAACUGAAAACAGUAGCCAAAUAGCUCAUAAGAAAAUAGAGCCAAAGGGAAUAACAUUAAAUUCACAUCAAAUCCUUUUCAAAGGUUUGCAAAAAAGCAUUUAUACCCUUUUCUUGGGCCUUUUUUGUUCUUUAUUUUUAUGCUAUUAUUGCAUUUCAUUUCAUCCCUAAAGAUCUAAAUUUAAGCCACAAGCUUUGAGGUUUUGACCUUUUGUUGGGUCAUUAGCUUUGAUUAGUGGGAAAAGUUCCUUGUAUGUGCAGUGAGAACAAAGGCUAAAGAAAAUGGAAGUGGGUCAGAUGCAGAGAAGAUUGGUGGACUACACAAAAUCCUUGUUUAUGGAGGUAAAAUCCCAUUAAAAAAAUCAACUUUAAAUGUACAAAUCUGUUAACAAAAAUCUCGUUUUUCUUUUGUCCUUGUGUUCUUCUUCUUGUUUUGGUAUGUUUGGUUUUUCCUUACUUUUGUACUCUUUUUUUUUUGUUUUUUUUUUGUUGGGAGAAGGGUUUCUUGGAUGCUCAGUUUUUGCAGCUUCAACAGCUUCAAGAUGAGAGCAACCCAGAUUUUGUUGUUGAAGUUGUGUCUCUUUUCUUUGAUGAUUCAGAGAAACUUCUUAAUGAUCUCACCAUGGCUUUGUAAGAAACUCACCUUUUCCUUUUUGUUUUCUGCCAUGGAUGUUUUUUUUUUCUUCAUUAAACAUGUCUUUUUUCUUAUACAGAGAUCAGCCAAAUGUAGAUUUCAAAAAAGUUGAUGCUCAUGUUCAUCAAUUGAAGGGUAGCAGUUCCAGGUACAAAGCCUUCAAACAAUAUGAUCCCACAGUUUCAUUACAAAAGUUGAUUAAACUUGUUAGAUCUAACCAUUCUAGAAAAACAAGGCUAUAAAACAUGAAAAAUGAACAAAAUCUUGGAAUGUUCAAGUUGUUUGAUUAAACAAUCAAUGGUUCUUUGUGUGUGUGUGUCAACAGCAUUGGUGCACAGAGAGUUAAAAAUGCUUGCAUUGCUUUUCGUAGCUUCUGCGAGGAGCAGAACAUCGAUGCGUGAGUCUCUUUUACUUCACUCUAAUCUUUCGUUUUAUGAUAUAUUAUAGAUUUCGAUUCGAUGUUCUUGAAAAAAUUGCAGGACACUGAGAUGUCUUCAACAAGUGAAACAAGAGUAUUACCUUGUGAAGAACAAGCUUGAAACUAUGCUCAGGGUUAGUGCACUAGUUUUUUGCUUAAAGAACAUAGUUGUACUUAAGUUAUAAAACCGGUUUUUCUUAUGCUUUUCUUUUCCCGGUUACCGCAGUUAGAGCAGCAAAUCGUGGCGGCUGGUGGGUCGAUUCCCAUGAUUGAACUGGGUUUUUGAAGACCAUAAACAUGAAGGGGGGAAAAGCAUGAUUUUGGGGGUGGUUUAUACAAUAGGAACAUAUGGUGUUUAAGGUUUCUCUUUUUUAUUUAAUCUUACCAGUGAGUUUGUGGUUGUUUGAUGUUCAUGAAAGAAGAGAUUUCAUACUAGUUUCACUCCCCAUAACUUCUAAAAGGAACCUUUCUGUUGAUAAAUUUCCUCUUCAAUUAAUACUGUUUCUUCCAUGAAUGUUAACUAUUGUUCCAGUUUGUGAACACUGGAAUUGCUUCUAGAUUUGUAAUGCUAUUCGUUGCUCUCAUGUUUAUUGACAAUAUCAAAGCAUGUAGUGUAGGAAUAUCGAUAGAAUGAUGUUAAAAGUGCAGGAGACACUCCGGAGGGGGGGCGGGGUUCGAUAUUGCUAAAUGAUUAAUUGCUGGCACAUAAUCCCCCAAAGUAGGGUUAUGGCCAUCAUCAUUGUUUUAGUUGUCUGCAGUUUUUACCCCUUGAUGCCAUUUCCUACUGAAGUUCCCCUUUGUGGAAAGAAUCCCAGUAGACAUCAGCAAAGCUUGUCUUUUCUUGCCAUGUUCCACAUUUAACUGUCGUUUCUUCUAUUAUUAACUGUUAUUAGUCAAUUAUAGAAAAAAGAAACAAAAGAACUGUUGUUAGUCCUGGAGGACAAUAACAUGUUGGCAUUAGUGGUUCAAAGAUAUAAACUGGCAACAAGAGAAUUGUGGGGUUUUGAUUUGAUUAUUUAAGUGGCAGACAAAUGUUGCUACAGUCCAUGCUGUCUGAAUAUGAAUCCAUUUGAAGAUGUCUUUCACAAAAUGUCAACUAUAAAUCUGUUGGGACUGUCUCUUUAUCGGCUGCCAAUAUAUCAGAUUUAACCAUAAAGCUGUUUGAUUUGGUCUAUACCACAUUGUUCUCUGUUCAUCAUAGCUUCCUAAUACAGCGGACCGGUUUUGAUUACCCAAUUGAUCUGCAAAUAGAUUGCAAUAAGCCAUAGUGUCGACAUUUUUCAAUAUUUUUGCUGAUUUCCCUUGCUUGUCGUUUAUCCAAAUCUGUCCAUCCAUGGAUUCAACACCUUCAGCAAUCACUUUGAUUGGCAUUUCUCCAAUGGUAGGUUUCAGAUUGUGAUGAUCUCCACCCAUGAAUAUUGCACCAAUGAUUUCACCCGUGAAUGUUUCCUGCAAAUGAAAAAGAGAUUCAGUCUUCAUUUGAGAAUGUUCAUUUUAUUCAUAAGAUUAGAAAACGUUACCAAAUGGCGAUAUCAAUGAUGAGUUUGCUCCAAAGCGUAAAGCUUGAACAAUUGACGCUUGACGAACUGAACUUCAGGAGUAAUACUUGCCAGGUUCAGCCUCUCUAAGAUCUCUGGAAACAGACUGACUUCACGCUGAUUUUGAGUGAAAUGAGUGUGAUGUUAAUCCUGAUUCGAAGACUGACUAUGCGGAAAACGGAUGGAAAAACAUUGAAUUCGGCGUACUUGUUUGAAGGAAUACUGAAACACAUUUCCUUUAUCAUGACGACUUCGGCUGAUAUGUCCAACAAUAUACACAUUCUGCAGAUAGAUUGCAAACAUAAAUCCCAUGACAUACAUGCAUAAAUCCAUCCAUCAUUACAUACAUACAUGCAUGAAUACAUAUAGACAUACAUGCAUAGAUACAUGUGUGAAAAGGGUAACUGCAUGAAAUCCCAUAUACCUGAACUAGUGAAGCUGUUUUUGUUUUAGUUAUAGUCUUGGCUAAAGUAGUCAGAGGUUCAUUAGUCAAUAUGUUAAUUUUUUAUCCAGGAUCCAUACUUUUCAAUUUUGAAGUCCAAAUUUCCAGUGCCAGAGGUUGUCUUAGUGAUUUGAUUGAGUUAUCAGUUGUAUAUCUUCAGUGAUAGUCCAUAUAUUUCAGUUCUAAGCACUUCAGACAGGAAAGGAUGUUAGAAGAAUACCUUCGACGACUUUGUGGUAAGUGCUGAGGUAGUCCAUAAAGAGUAUCCGAAUCGAGAAAUCUCUCACUUCCAUGUGGGAUAGCCUUAGCAUACUUGCAGUCACCAACAGGAGGGAAUACAUUGUCAGACUGGUUCAUUGCAAAUACGUCUCCAAGACCAACCGGAAUGUCAUCCCAACCCGUCAUGUGCAGUAAAUCUUAGAUUAGGCCUAGUUUAGAAAUGCUUCUCAAAAGUGCUUUUUAGGGAAAAGUUAAGGAAAAGUUAAAAUUUGCAGCUUCUGAAAAAAGUACUUUUGGGCUAAUUUUUUUUAUUUGGGAGAAGCACUUUUAAGAAGUGAGUUGUUUAAGAAUGCUUUUAUAUGAAAAGUAUUUUAUUUUUCCAAAAGUGCUUUUAAGAAGCAUUACUAAAUUAGGCUUAUAUUUAUGGUUGCAGCAUUAGCCCAGUUAGUUGGAGUUACUAAAAUUGCCUGGAUAAAGAGAAAUAUGGACAUCAAAUCAAAGCAUCUCGUUUAGAUUAACGUUUGUGCAGCGUAUUAGGCCAUUGCAACCAUUGUUUCGAUAGCUCGGGCAUGCGUUUUCCGGUGUUAUUUAGAAGUGAAACCAUUUACCUCAAGGUUGAGAACUUCCACAGGCACUUUGAGGAGAUAAAAUAGGGACAAAAAUCUCCAACACUCGUAUCCACAUCGAACACAACAGGUUUUUCGAGCUUCUUUUUCUCGAAAAAUGGCUUGUAAAGAACUCUCUAAUAAGGAAAUUUUGUCGAAAGAUUUAACCUCCCAGUAUGUUCGGGUCUGUUUAGCACCUGCAUUUGGUCAGUGCGUAUGACAUUUGUUCAGUAUACAUAUGCACAAUGAAUAUCAGAUAAACUGAAGUUCAUAUAAUAAGAACUUACAUCCAAAAAGCUUAUGAAAAUUUUUCGAUUAAGUUUGUUGUUGAUGUUCGGAUUAGGUUGUCUUGGUCUCAAAAAGAAUGCGAACCGCAUCCAGGCUGGUUACCUCCAUUGUGUAGUCAUCCUAAAUGGUUAUAAUGCAAUGAAGUCACAAUUAGAUGGUUAAACAGAAUACGAGCUCGAAAUCCAUGGUGGUCUAACUCUAACCUUGAAUUUCCCUUUUCAAUUCUUUAUGAAGCAAAAUGGAUCUCGAAGUCCUGUCUGAACAUGAAAACUAUGCACUCCAUGUUUUUUCAGUUUAAACUUUGGAACUUCAAGGUUAUCGAAGAAUGGAUUGGAACCACCGGAUACUCCGUAAGGCUUAUUCGAAGUAAUUGACAAUUAUGUUCAUGUAUUCCAUUUUUGUAAAUUCAUUCUCUCCAUUAUUCGAGUCAAAAUUAUGCAUGAUUGAGACCGCUACACCAACUGUUAAGGAGUCCCACAUGAAGUAGCUAAGCUGAAGGUACAAAACAAUAGUUGAAAUUAUUAACAGUAGAAAAAUACAAUGCUAGUUGUUACAUAUGCAUUACCAAGAAGAAUUUUGUUAGUACCAUGUUAGAUUCAACAGAACUCGAAGAUAGUUUCGUAUUCAAGGAUCGGAAGCAAUAUUCCACCUCGUAAUUUCCCUGGCUCUCCUCAAAUGCUUUGAGAAACUCUUUAGUCAAGGGGAUGGUGUUAGUUGCAUCUAAAGGAACAAUGGUGAUUGGAACACCAGAAUGAAGCACCUGCAAUAUACAAGUCUAUACAUGAUCAAUCAACAAGGAUAUUGGAGUGUCGAUGUUAUUAACGAAUCGUUUCUCGAGUUACCUGAUAAGCAGUGAAAGGAUCACCAAAGAUAUUGAACUCGUCAUAAAUAUUGUAAUCAGUGAAUAGAUUACCAAGAUAACCACAAUCGUUGGGAUUGUUGGACCUCAAUCCACCACCCAUCACAUGCAUAUCCUCAACGUUCUUUUUCGGAUUAUUCAUUAGAAAAAGUGCGAGAUUCGCGUAAGCUCCAAUUACAAACACAGUAAUCAGACUUGCAGAUAUAGUUUCCAUUAUCACUUGUUGAGCAGUAGGCUGUAGAAAAGGUGAAUAUUUACUGGUGCCCUGAAAAUGAAACCAUUAAAAAAAGGAAGCUUGAAAUCACAUAUAAAUGAACAUGAAAUCCAUCAAUUACUUGUGGAAGAAAGGCUUUUCGAAUGCCAAGGUUAGUGUCUCUAACUAAUCAUCCUCCAUUGCCUAUUAGAAUUGCUUGCCUAUAUCAACAAUACCCAGUUGUUGUCAUCCCCUAGUAAAUAUUGAAAAAUUUAAGCAUAAACAACACAUACUUGUAUUUAACACUCGUAGUAUACUAGUAAAUGUAACUCUACUGUCUGGAUUUUGGAAGAUAUCCACUAACUUUUAGCAAUUUGAUUCCUAAUGAGAUAUUAUAGGAUAUUAUCUUUUAGCAAUUUGAUUUCAAGUACUGGACAACAUGCAGAGCCUCAUCCCAAUGCUCCUGCCUUGACUCAUGCAAAAACAGGGCUAAGACAUGAAUCGAGAUGUCAAAUUAGGUCUGGUCACUGCCAAAUAAAUAAAACAACCCAUUAACCAUCUGUACAACUCAGGAUCAAACAAAGCCGUCCCUAGAGCAUGCGCUAAUUUAUGAUGUUGCUCUAUUGGCGAUCCUGCGGGAUUUGCUCCUGUUAGUACAAAACUCCGGUAAGGAAAAUCUCGAACACACGAUCAGAACUCGAAAAGAAAAGAAGAAAUAGGACAAGGCUCCAAGGCGUGUAUCAAGCCACUAUCUUUAAGGUUAUAUUCGCCCCCACUUAUCUUCAGUGUGCAAAUGAGUUCCAAGCAAAUUAAUCUCGAGGAUACAAUGAAGCCAAUGACUAUUUGCAUUUUGCACUGACGAGAAUAGUUCACUUUGCACUAAGUAAUGUAUAACAAAAACUCAAUUUCUACAAAGGAUUUUUGCAGUAAUACUUUAUAGAAUAAUCUAAUAAUAUUAGAAAAUGAAGGAAGAGAAGAAAUAAUAUUAGAAUUUGUUGAUAUAUUUCCAAAUGAAAACCCAUUCCUAUUUAUAGGAAUUUUCUUGUCUCUUCAUAGAGACAUCUUUCAAUAGGUGUCUUUAUGAUUAAAUAAAUAAUAAUAAUUAUUUAAUUUUGUAAGUAUUCAAAUAAUAUUUUUUGAAUAAUUAUAAUUCUUUUUAAAAAAAUCAAAUGAUAUAACUUUUGACCAAUGACCAAAAGAUUUAUCUUUUGAUUAAUUACACCCAUUCAUUUAUAGUUAUUGGGAUACUAUAAAUAUUUGAAAAUGUUCCAACAAUCUCCCCCCAUUUUCAAAAUAUUUAGAUUUUGAUAUUCUUGGAAAACAAUUUGCAUAAAUAAAGGUGUCUUACGAUUGAACCUUCACUUAGUGAAAAACAUGUUAAAGUUAAUCGAAAUUGCAUGGUAGACUAAGCUUUGAACCAACUAUUCCAUUUGGUUAACUGAACACAUCUCACACAAUGAUUUCAACAUCAGUCAAUGCAUAGUAUCUAGGGACACUAUUAUGGCCAUGUGUCUAUGUCCUCUUUUCAUGAGUGCUGUCAGAGCCAAGCCCUUAAGCUCCUAGAAGCGGCCACACUUCCACUCACAUAGGUAGAUCCCAUCAAAAGUGUUCCCGUAAUUAUAACACUCUAACAUAUUUAUGUUUGGGGUCCAUUAAGAGUAUAUUACUCAUCCUUCCCUUAUCAUUAUGGGUACCUAGCACUUUAAUCUUAGGAUGAAUUUAUUUAUAGUGCUAACAAUCACAUACUAAUGAUGUACUUUGUCUCAUUGAACUUAAGACUUGACGUUAUACCAAGCGUUGAGUCGAGUUUCCAUCAUGGUGACUCUAAUUAAUAGGCUUGAGUCCCAUCCCUUUUGAGGUCCUUUUUACUGCAUCUCUAGCAAGACUUUUUGUUAAAGGAUCGGCCAAAUUUUCACUUGACCUCACAUAAUUAAUAGUGAUCACUCCAUCAGAGAUUAAUUGUCGGACAUAACUAUGUCUUAAUCCAAUGUGUCUAGACUUUCCAUUAUAUACUUGGCUAUAUGCCUUUGCUAGAGUAGCCUCACUAUCACAACGGAUAAAAAUAGGUGAAAUUGGCUUAAGCCAUAAAGGUACAUCAUAAAACAAAUUUCUUAAUCAUUCUGCUUCUUUAGAUGCAGCGGCUAAUGCAAUAAAUUAUGUUGCCAUGGUGGAAUCAAUAGUACAUGUUUGUUUCUUGGAACCCCAAGAAAUGACUCCUCCACCAAGAAUGAAGAUCCAUGCACUAGUAGAUGCAUGAUUUUCCAAACUUGUAAUCCAACUAGCAUCCGAAUACCCUUCUAAAACUGGAGGAUAUCCAUUAUAACACAAUCCAUAGUUAAUAGUUUUCUUUAAGUACCUAAGUACUCUAUUCAAAGCUUGCCAGUGCAAACUACUUGGAUUACUUGUGUACCUACUCAAUUUUCCAACAGCAUAUGCAAUAUCUGGUUUUGUACAAGUCAUUAUAUACAUAAGACAACCAAUUAGACUUGCAUAUUUCAAUUGAUCAAUUUUCCUACCAGCAUUAGAUACUAAUUUUAAUUGAGGAUCCAUGGGUGUAGAUGCUGGUAUACAGUUGAAAAGAUCAAACUUUUUAAGCACAUUUUCAAUGUAAUGUGAUUGUGAUAAAGCUAUAGUGCUUUCAUCUCAGGUUAUUUUAAUCCCAAGAAUAACAUCUGCUACACCUAUAUCCUUCAUAGCAAAGUUGUUUGACAAGAAUUUCUUUGUGUUUUCUAUUUGUUCCAAAUCCAUGCCAAAAAUGAGCAUGUCAUCUACAUAUAAGCAAAUAUGACACCCUUUCCAUUAUCAAAUUUGCUAUAUAUGCACUUAUCGGAUUCAUUUAUUUUAUAGCCAUUAGCUAAAACAACCUUGUCAAACUUUUGGUGCCAUUGUUUUGGUGUUUGUUUAAGCCCAUAUAAUGAUUUAACAAGCUUACAUACCUUAUGCUCUUGUCCUGGAACAACAAAUCUUUCCGGUUGCUCCAUGUACACUUCCUCUUCCAAUUCACCAUUUAAAAAUGCAGUUUUAACAUCCAUUUGGUGAACAACCAAAUUAUAUAUAGAAGUAAGCGAUAUUAAUAGUCUAAUUGUAGCAAUUCUUGCUACUGGAGCAUAGGUAUCAAAGUAAUCAAUACCUUGUCUUUGUGUAAAACCUUUUGCUACCAACCUUGCUUUAAAUUAAUUUAUGGUUCUAUCGACCUUCAUUUUCUUUUUGAAGAUCCAUUUACAACCUAUUGGUUUGGAACCUGGUGGAAGAUCAACUAAGAUCCAAGUUUGAUUUCCCAUUAUUGAAUCCAUCUCAUCAUUUAUUGCUUCUUUCCAAAAAGUAGAGUCUUGAGAUUUCACUACAUCUUCAAAUGUAAUAGGAUCAGAUUCGGUAUUAUAACAAUAAGGUAUCUUAUUGCAUAUACUUUCACCUUUUCCUUCUACAAGAAACAUAAUGAAAUUUGGUCCAAAAUCUUUGACCUUUUUAAUCCUCUUACUUCUUCUUAAUUCUUGACAAGAUUCAUCAUUAUUAUCAAUUUGUUUCAAUGGAAUCACAUUCUCAUUUGAAGAAUGAAUCAAUUGUUGUGGUUGUAAUUGUCUUGAUGUAGAAUUAAAUCUAUUUUCAUCAAAAAUAGCAUCUCUUGAUUCAAUAACAGUAUUAAUUGAAAUUGAAUCAUUUGGUUCAAUUACCAUAAACCUAUAUGCCUUGCUAUUAUGUGCAUAACCUAUAAAUAUGUAUUCAAUUCCUCUUUCACCUAACUUUUUACGUUUAGGUGUUGGAACUUUUACAAUAGAUCUACAACCCCAAACCUUCAAAUAAUUAAUGUUUGGUUUCCUUGUCUUCCAUUGUUCAUAGGGGGUUAUUUUAGUUUCCUUAUUAGGAACUCUAUUCAAUGUAUGACAAGCUGUUAGAACAGCUUCUCCCCAAAAAUCUUGUCCAAGACCUGAAUAUGAUAACAUUGAAUUUACCAUUUCAAUUAAGACUCUAUUUUUUCUUUCAGCUACACCAUUUUGUUGUGGUAUGUAAGGGGCUGAAACUUGAUGGACAAUUCCAGUGAGUUCAAAAUAACUUGGAUUAUAGUAUUCUCCACCUCUAUCCGAUCUUAAGCACUUGAUAAAUGAUUCACACUAAAGUUCAACUUCAGAUUUAUAAACUUUAAAUUUAUCAAGCUCUUCAUCUUUUGAAUGUAAUAAAUAUACAUAACAAUAUCUAGAAUAAUCAUCAAUAAAAGUAACAAAAUAUUUCUUUCCACCUAAUGUAGGAGUAUUAUGCAUGUCACAUAAAUCACUAUGUAUCAAAUCAAGCAAUUUUAUUUUCCUUUUAACCUUAGGGAAAGGGUUUCUUGUAAUUUUAGUCAACAUACAUGUAUUGCAUUUUUCAAUAUUUUUAUUAAAAACAGGAAUUAGAUCUAAGUUAUACAUGUCAUUCAAUUUUCUAUAAUUUAAAUGACCUAAUCUAUAAUGCCACAAACAAAAAGAUUCAACCAUAUAAGAAGAAAUAGUAUUUUUAUUCUUAUUAAUAAUAUUAAGUUUGAACAUGCUUUCAUACAUAUACCCUUUUCCCACAAAAAUUCCUCCAUUAGACAAAAUAAACUUAUCUGCCUCAAAAACAAGUUUGAAACCAAACUUAUUCAACAGACUUCCAGAUACUAAAUUUUUCUUAACUUCUGGUACAUAAUAUACAUCAUUUAAAGUUAAAACCUUUCCAGAAGUGAAUUUUAGUUCAACAGACCCUUUGCCUUUAAUUGUUGCGGUGGAAGAAUUUCUCAUGUACAAGACAUUGUCAUUUUCACAUCGUGUGAACUUUGUGAACAUGCUUUUGUCUUUGCACACAUGUUUGGUUGCUCCGGUAUCAACCCACCAUAUAUUAUCAUCUUGUGCCAUAUUAAUUUCAGAUAUCAUUGCAACGAAUCUUUUCGUUAUUAUCAGCCUUAGAAGAUGAUUUCUUCCUUAAAAAUCGACAUUCAUUCUUGAAAUGUCCCGGCUUUCCACAAUGAUAGCAUGAGCCCUUUUGUUUCUUUUUAAACUUAGGUGUUCUAUCAGUCUGAUUGAACUUUCUCUUGAAUGGUUUAGUAGUCUGUACUUCCUCCGUAACAUGUACUUUGGCAUUUUCAGAAUUUAGGUUCUGAUCUUGUUUUCGAUACUCUUCUUCAAUACGAAAAUGAUUUGCCAAAGCCUCAAGAGAUAUUUCCUCUUUCUUAUGUUUUAGACUUCUUUUAAAGUCUUUCCAAGAUGGAGGAAGUUUGUCUAUUAUGGAGGAUACCACAAUCAUUUCAUCCAUUUUCAUAUCAUAUUGCUUAAAUUGAUUCAGCAUCUUUUCAAUAUCACGAAAUUGUUCCAUAACAGAAAGACCAUCAACCAUUUGAUAAUUAUUGAAACGACUGACAAGAAAUUUCUUACUUGUAACAUCUUCGGUCAUGUAUCUUGCCUCCAAUUUGUCCCAUAAUUCUUUAGUGGUGACCUCAUUUUGGUAGGUGUCGAACAAACUAUUAGAUAAAUCAUUCAAUAUGUGGCCCAUGCACAUGUAAUCAGCAUUGUCCCAUUUUUGUCUUUCUCGGGUUGCAGCAAUAGAUUCGUUUUCAUUCUCUUCAGGUCAUGGAGUAUCCAAAACAUAAGCAAUCUUCAAAUUUGAUAACAAAAAGUACAUCUUUUUCUGCCAUCGUCGAAAAUUGCCACCAUCAAAACGAUCAAAUUUAACAAAGUUGGAAGCCAACUCCCUUCGUGUUCCACUUUCAUGUGCUGUGGUAGUCAUCAUGAAAUAUAACCUUAAAAUUGUUAGUACAAAACUCCGGUAAGGAAAAUCUCAAACACACGAUCAGAACUCGAAAAGAAAAGAAGAAAUAGGACAAGGCUCCAAGGCGUGUAUCAAGCCACUAUCUUUAAGGUUAUAUUCGCCCCCACUUAUCUUAUCUUCAGUGUGCAAAUGAGUUCUAAGCAAAUUAAUCUCGAGGAUACAAUGAAGCCAAUGACUAUUUGCGUUUUGCACUGACGAGAAUAGUCCACUUUGCACUAAGUAAUGUAUAACAAAAACUCAAUUUCUACAAAGGAUUUUUGCAGUAAUACUUUAUAGAAUAAUCUAAUAAUAUUAGAAAAUGAAGGAAGAGAAGAAAUAAUAUUAGAAUUUGUUGAUAUAUUUCCAAAUGAAAACCCAUUCCUAUUUAUAGGAAUUUUCUUGUCUCUUCAUAGAGACAUCUUUCAAUAGGUGUCUUUAUGAUUAAAUAAAUAAUAAUAAUAAUUUAAUUUUGUAAGUAUUCAAAUAAUAUUUUUUGAAUAAUUAUAAUUCUUUUUAAAAAAAUCAAAUGAUAUAACUUUUGACCAAUGACCAAAAGAUUUAUCUUUUGAUUAAUUACACCCAUUCAUUUAUAGUUAUUGGGAUACUAUAAAUAUUUGAAAAUGUUCCAACAACUUCCAAAAGACCCGUAUCCAAAAUAAUAUCAAGUGCAUAUUUCUUUUGACAAAGAAAUAACCCCAAAGAGCUAUGAGCUACCUCUAUCCCUAAAAAAUAUUUAAAAGCGCCAAGAUCCUUCAUAUGAAAGCAAGAACUGAGAUGCACAUUAAAAGUUUUCAAAGCAGUGAAAUCAUUCCCAGAAAUAAGUAAAUCAUCAACAUAAACUAGCACAUGAAUGUGUAUAGAUCCCUUAAUGUAUGUAAAGAGAGAAUAAUCAAAAUAUGAUUGAAGAAAUCCAUACCCUUUCAGUGCAGUAACAAGCUUCGCAAAUCAACACCGAGGAGUCUGUUUCAACCUAUACAAAGACUUGCACAAACGAAAAACCAUUCUAGGCUUAUCAGGAGAAAAAGCUGGAGGAAGCUUCAUGUAAACCUCUUCAUCAAGAUCAUUAUGCAGGAAGCCAUGAUGGACAUCCAUCUGAUGCAACUCCUAAUUUUUCGAACUUGCAAUAGCUAAGCAAGUACGAACAAUCACCAUUUUUGCCACAGGUGCGAAAGUUUCAUUAUAGUCAAUAUCUUUUACAUGGUGAUUACCAAAAAAAAAAGACAAGCUUUAAGUGUCUCAAUACUUCCAUCGAAGUUAUAUUUAAUCUUGUACACCCACUUACUACCCAAUACUUUCUUUCCAAGAGGAAGUGUUUCCAUGAACCAAGUGACAUUAUCCUCUAGAGCACAAAUCUCCUUUUUCAUAGCAUCACAUUAUCCUGCAUCCUUCAUAGCCUCUUUAAAAGACUAUGGCUUGACCUAUGCAGUAAUUGAUGCAAGCAAAUUUCGAUGUUUUACAGUAAAUUUGUAAAAAUUAACAUAAUGCGCUAUAAGAAAUGGAGUACCUGAGUUAGGCUCUGAAGUAGGUGAGACAAUAAAUGGACUUUUCUUUAUGAUGGUAUGAGUGAAAAAAUCCUGAAGCUUCACAAAAGAAAAUUUCUCUCUAUGCUCUCUUCCCUUUUCAGGUGCAUCAUUACCCAAAACCCCCUGUAUCAUCGUGUCAUUGGAGGAAGAAGAAGAUACCAUAAGUGUCGGAGAACUCACAAGUAACGGACUCACAGGCUACAGAAUAGCAAGCGGAGGAACUGUCACAAGUUGCAACACCUAUAACUCACUGAAAUAUGUAUCAAAAAUUACGUCUGCACUCCUAUAUGACAGGGUAACAUUGUCAGGCUCAAUGGUUGCAGUAUUCUCAUCUAAAUACAGAAAAAUAUCCUCAAAAAAAUUUCACAUCGCAGGAUACAAAUAACUUCUUAGCAUCCAGAUCAUAUAAAUACCAACCUUUUUUUUUCCAAAAAGGUACCCAAUAAAAAUACACUUUCAACUUUGACUAGCAAACUUAUCACCCUUAAAACAUUUAUUAUAAGCAAAACAUAAGCAACCAAAUACACGAAUAGCAUCAAACAAAGGAAGGCUACCAAACAACAUUUCAUAUGGUGUUUUAUUAUGAAGGAGUUCGAUUAAUGAGAUGAGAAGCAUCCAACACACACCCCCUCAAAAAAGAUAUAGGCAGAUUUCCCUGAAAACGCAAUGCACGAGCUACAUUUAAAAUAUGUUGAUGUUUCCUCUCCACCCUCCCAUUUGUUGAGGAGUACCAAACAAGAUGUUUGAAAAAUAAUGUCAUUUGAAAGAAAAUAAUCCUGGAGAUAAUUAAAUUUCGUCUCAUUAUCACUUCUAAUACACUUUAUUUGUCAAGAAAAUUAGCAAUCAGUACCAUAGCAAUAAAUGACAUGAAAACUUUCAAACCUCAUUUUUAUUAACUAAUAGAUAUACCCAAAAAACACGAGAGAAAUCAUCAACCAAUGUAAAAAAAUAAUGAGAUCCACAAGAUGAAUAAGUGUCAUAAAAAACCCAUAAAUCAAAAUGAACUAACUCAAAAAUACGAGUGGCUUUCUGUUCACUAAUUGGUAAGCUAUAUCUAGUCUUCUUAGCAUGAUAACAAAUUUCACAUGCUUUAUUCAGAUGAUCUCUAGAGUUGCUAAAAUAAAGAAGUAACUUUACUACUUUCUCAGAAGGGUGAUCCAAUCUUUUAUGUCAAAGUUCCAAAGAGGAUGAAGCUUCAACUGAAACCGCUUUGACCACUAAAACUUGUUGAAAAUAGUAAAGUCCAUCCUGUCUCUUACCCGCUUCAAUCAAUUCCCUAGAAUGAAGGUCCUGAAUAACACAUAUGUUAGUAGAAAAUUGGACAAAACUAUCCAUAUCAUCAUUCAACUGGGAAACCAAAAUUAAAUUGCAGUUUAAUUUAGGAACGUAAAGAACUUGUUUUAAGUGAAUUUUGUUUGUCAAUUUAACCAUUCCUUAUUUGGUAGCCAUUAUUGUUUGGCCAAUAGGGAGUCCCACGAAACAUGCUAUAACAUCUCUCAGAUCCGUCAAACACAUAAGAUCACCCAUAACAUGAUUUGAACACCCCGUAUCAAUAAUCCAAUUAUUAUUAAACUUACCAUUCAACCGAGUGAAAGUUGAUUGUUUACUACUGAACACCGCCAGAAGAGAUUGUCAUUACACAAUGGUAAAACCAGGAAGAGUCGCCCCCUAAAACUUGUGCUGGCCUACAGUGUUAUGUGCUGGUGUUUCUCCAUGGUUGCUAUCCAAGGCAAUAAUGUUGGCUUGCACACUGCCUUUUCCACGAAAAACUUGUUGUGUGGAAGAUACGACACAUAUCUUGUCAUCGCGGCCAUCAUUUUUCAUCUCUGACUUCUCAUACUUCUCAAGCCACCAGGGUGAACAUGCAAGUCAAAGAAAGUAGCCACCUCAUGCCCCUUGCAAUAGCAACGAGUGCACAGUAAGGUUGACUUAUUUAUAUGAUCCAUCUGUCCUUUGUUAUGACCCUUCGUGUGCACCGUAAAGCCUAAAAUUUUAGGCUUCUCUUCCUUGGCUUGUGUAAUGUCGCGUACGCGUUCCUUUCAAGUAAUUUGCUGGAAUGCCCAAUUCAAGGAAGGAAAAGGAUCUUGGGAAAACAUUGUAGACCUAAUCUGGGCAUAAUAAUCAGAAUAGAGAUGAAAAAGAAAUUAAUGAAAUCGGUCAUGCUCACGAUGUUGUUCAUGCGUCUUCCCUAAGUUACAUAAACAUUGACCACACUUACAACAAAUCAAAGGUUCAUAAUUAUCUAAUUCAUCCCACAAAACCUUUAAUUUACUAAAAUAAACUUCAACACUCAUAGUCUUGGUUUGCUCACAACGAUUAAUAUCUGCUUUUAAUUGUUGAAUACAUUGACCGUUGACAACGGAAAAAUGUUAAUGUAAAUCAUCCCAUAAAGUCUGCACAUUAUCAUAAUUGGAAAGCAUCAAUCUUACCUCCGGAUCAUUAGUUUUGAGAAUCCAAGACACAAGCAUAUAAUGGAUGGUAAUCCAAUCAUCCUUCAACCAGGAUGGAACAAGAUCUGUAAUGAUACCGUUAAGAAAUCCAAAUUUGCGCUAAGAAGGUAGAGUGACAUGAAUAGAUAAUCCCAAUCAUCAAAAUUGUCGAGCUUUAAUCGAAUAGGAGAAAUAAAGUCACCAGGUCAAUCUUGAGGACACAAGAAAAAUGGAAAGUUAGGUUCAAUUUUAGGUGGUGGUGGCGGAGGAGAAGUCUCGCCGCCAGCCAUUUAGAAUGAUGAAAGAGAAAACAAAAUAGUGUCAAAACCUUGCUUUGAUAUCAUGACAAGAAUAGGGUAAUCUCUUGAAUUUUAUUGAUAGACCUCAAAGGUAUAUAUAUCUAUACAAUAGUAAUUACGUAAGAAUCAUAUUGCUAAAAUAUAAUAUCCCAUAAUAAUAUCCUAACAGAUUCCAAUAGGAUGUGAUUGAUGCGAAUGUUAUUGUUGGGAAAAUUAUUUUACAAUAUUUGAUAUACAUAAUUUUUUUUACAUUGAAUAAAUUAAUUAAUACUCUAAAAUUUCUUUGGAAUAAUGAAUUGAAGUUCUAUAGGCCAAAAUACGAUAAAACAAACAGCAACUAUGGUUUUUUUUACAUUGAAUAAGUUAGUAAAUACUCUAAACAAAAAUAAAAGAAUAAUUAAUUUUGUCCUAACAAUUUCUUUUUACUUUCCAUCUAUAUGAGAAAGUAAUUUUCUCACCAAUUAUCAAGGGAACCACUUUCCAUUACUUGUGGGAAGGUAACUCCAAUGGAGCAUUACAUUUCAAGGAAAGUAAAUUAAUUUUUUCGUACAAAGCAUUGGAUCAAUUAAAUUCCUUAGAAGUUAUCACUUUUCAUUAUACCAAACUUCCUCCUAAUGCAGAUUAGGUCAAUGAGUUUUUUUUUCUUAAGGGCCUUUUAUACCUUUAAGUUAAUAUAAAUCACAAAAUUGAAAAAAUAAUUCUACAUUUUACUUAGAUGCUAUAUAUCAUACAAAAGAAAAAUAUGGUUACUUAUAAAUUAUUUAGAGGUUACACUCUCCUUGAAGUCCAUCAAUGAAAAAUAAACCUCAAUAAAAAUAAUAUUUUUAACUCACAUUAUAAGUUAAAUUGCUAAAAAUAUUUACCGAGAAAAUCCAAUAAAAUAAAACCUUAGUUAAAAAAAAUAGAAGAAAACAUGUCUUAGACUCUUCUUAAUAACAAGGUCACUUUUUUUUAGUCGACACAUCCUAAAUUCAUAAAUAAAUAUGUCAAAUAUUGCAAUUGAUAAUGCCUUGGUGAAUAGAUUUGUCAAUUUAUUACUUGAAUCAAUUUACUGAACUUUAAUAUCGUCCGUCUUUUCAAAAUCAUUAAUGAAGAAUUAUUUUGAAGAAAUAUGUUUUGUUCUAUCACUUUUGAUGUAUCCUCCUUUUAAUUAAGCUAUACAUGUUGCAUUGUCUUCAUAUAUGAUAAUUGUUAUAUUUUCUUGUAGACAUAAAUCACAUAUAUUUUACAUAAGUUGAGUUAAAAGCCUUAGCUAAACACAUUCAACUUGUAUCAUACAUUGCAAUUAUUUCUACUUGAUUUGAAGAGGUAGCAACUAAUGUUUGUUUUCUUGGAAGCUAUAAUAUGGCAGUACCUCUACAUGUAAAUAAAUAUCCCAUUUAAGAUUAACCAUUAUAUUGAUUCGAUAAAUAUCUAGGAUCAACAUAACCAACUAAUAGAGGCCUUGAAUCACUUGAAUAAAAUAACUUGAUACUAAUGACUCCUCUGAGAUAUCGUAAUACAUUUUUAAUUCCAUUUCAAUACAUACAUGUUAGAGAAGAGCUAAAUCUUACUAGUAAGCUUACAGCAAAUGCUUUAUCAUGUUGUUUGCAAGAUACACUAAUGUUUUUAUGACAUUAAUAAAUGAUACUUUAAGACCAAUAAACUCUCCAUCAUGCUUACAAGGGGGAAAUAUAUUUUUAUUCUUAUCUAAAUAUUUUACAACCAUUAGGGUACUUAAUGGAUAUGUUUUAUUAGUGCAAAAUUUCUUUAAAAUCUUUUCUAUAUAAGUUGACAAAUGAACAUGAAUUUCAUCCUGUAAAUGAUAAAUCUGCAAGCUAAGAUUGAACUUUAUUUUCCCAAGAUCUUUCAUCCCAAAUUCUAUCUAUAAAAGAAUAUGCAUACUAAUGUGCAGAAAUGGGUAACGCCCUUGAGUGGUUACUUGAAAUUCUACAUUUAUGGGUACAUGGAUGGUGCUUUAAGCACUGCAAGCAUAGAAGAAGCAUAUCAUAAUGAAAGAAGGGAGGUAUGGCUAAUUUUGUCUAAACUGAUAAGACUUGCCUUCCCGAACUAAGAUUCUUGUUGCCAAAGAAGCUUUCUUGAUAUCCAUAAAAUCCAAAUGGUGAGAGUCAAUUGAGGUCAUUGUUGAAUCAUACAUUCAAUAUGUCCUAAAAUGGAUAAAGUCAGCUGAAUUGGCAAUUUACAUUUCAUGUGUAGCAACUACUCAAUUGAUCAUUGCAAACAAAAUUAGAUUAUUAAUUAUGUUCCUACGGUGAUUAACGGGGAGGCUGAAAACCUUGUAAAGGUUGGCACUCAGAGAUUAAGGUGGGGAUGGUAAAAUUCGAACCACUUGAUGGAUGUUAAACCAAUCCAUUCCAAAUAAAGUAGAUUUUUUUUUUCAGAUUAGUAGAUGUGGGGUGCAGUGUGUGGGGCAGGGCAAGACAAUUUUUUUUUCUUUUUGGAUAGUGAGUAUAGAGUUGUUAUAAUAAUUGCUUGCUUUACCAAAUAAAAUUAUCAUUUUAUAGUUUAUAUAUAUAACUAUUAAAAGGGUAAAAAUAUAAAAAUGUAUUAUAGAAAAAAACUAUAUAUUUUAUGUUUAAAUUUUUUUAAAGAAUUAUGUUUAAACAUUUAUUAAUUUUAAAAUUUUUGAAAAUAUUAAAAAUAAGUAGCAAAAAAUAAAUUGAAGUGGUGAGAGAUGAGAUGAGGAUGGAUAAAUCCAAUAUCUAUGGAGAUGAUAGUGGUUUUCAAAAUUAUACACCCAUAGUAGAGUAAGGCUAGUGGUGACGCAAAGCGUGCUAACUGUAAAGCAAUAGGGGAUUUAGUGACAUCCGCCCCCUACUUCAUUUUUAUCCCUAAAUUGAAGCCUCUGAUAGUAGUAUAUGAUUAGGUGGUAGUUUAUUGCAAAGAUAGAUGAGAGGUGUUUUUACUGAGUGUGUUGUAAUUUUUUUUCCUUUUUGUUUGUGUGGAUUUUUUUGUGUGUAAAGGCCAUGUUGGUAUUUUUCAAUUGGAUUUUGGUUUGUAUUACAGUUGUUGUUGCUUGUUUUGUGAGGACUUGACAUAGCUUGGCAAGGUUAAGAGGCUAUAAUUGUUUGCUAUUGUUGUAUUUGAAUUUGAACUACAAUUUUUUGUACCUCCAUCUUAUUUAUUUCUCUAUACUUCCCCUUCUUAUAGGUUAUAAUAUAGUCGAGGACCAAAACUCCAAUGCAUUGAAUCAAACAAAAAAAAAACAUUGCCAAUCAUUUCAUUAACAAUAGAAGUAUAAAAACAAAACUGAAAUACAAUUUUUUAAUAUAUAAGAAAAUGUAGUUAAUCCAUUAACAAAAGUGCUUAAUGUAGCUUGGAACUGUAAGAGGUGUAAGAGAGUCUUAGUAAGAUGAGUAGGCUUGGCAUACUAAAAUUUUUAACGUCUAUAAAAAAUUUUAACUUAUAUACCAAUACCAAAAUUUCUAGCUUCUAACAAAAGCGUUAAAAAAAUGGGACUGAUACUAAAAAAAACCCCGAUACUCUAAAAGUUUCUCUUCUGAUUUUGACCUAGUUGUGAGUGGUUAUUUGGCCUCUAACUGACGCUGCUCAUAUUUGUUUUUUCUUUCUUUUCUUUCCUCUUUUCAACAAAAUAAUCUCUAGUUUUCAAAGGGGUUUUCUUUUUUUCUUUUUGGUUUUCUCUUGAAGCCCUCUACCUCUUAUUGUCUCGGUAAUGGUGUCACUUUGGAUCUUCAUUGGUUUUGUUUCUUGACAGGCUCUCGUUGUCUUUGCACCAGAUCUUAUGGCGAUUGUCGUCAUCGGCUCCUGCCCUGGCUUACUCCUUUGUGUUGGGGUCUGGGUUUGUGCUAUGGUGGUUAUGACAACCUUUUUUCUAGGGUUUAAGGUGGCGUGACUUCUACCAAAAGCGUUCUUGAUAUGAGUCAAACACAGUUAGCACUUCCUUUUCCCCAGAGUCUUCUCCCUCUCUUCCCCAUGCGUGGCGUUGACGGCUAAUAGCUAAGGUUCUUUGCUUGGGGUUUGGGUUGGGCUUAUCCUAAAGCUUAAUACUUUGUUUUAUUUUAGGCAUUGUCCCUAUGGCUAGUAACUGGUCCUUUAGGAUUAUUGUUUAUCAUCCCUAGGGUUUAGAUCAAACUGGUCAAUGAAAAUGAGAGACCCUAGGGGUAGACGGGAUCAUACAUAUUUAUAUGUUGUAAUCGAAUAAAUGGUUUGAGGCCUCAUUGUAUGGUGUUGAUCCCUCUCCCAAUUUCACUGGUAGAAGGACUAGUUGUAAUCUUUUUUUAUUAUUAUUCCAGGGUUACUUUCUUUGGGUUUUUUUCCACUGUGUUGGCUUGUCUUAUGUUGUUCUUGUUGGAUCUGGUACCCUAAUUGUAAUGUAUUUGUUUAGCGUACUUGUAUUUUUCUAACAAAUUAGUUAAUAAAAUAAUAUAUUGUUUACAUUGAUAUUCUUUGUAUAAUGUCCACAAUGAUUUUUACGCGCAAAGUAAAAUGGAAGUAAAUUUUGGCUCACUGAUUAUUUAAUAUUUAACUAAUACUAAGCGAUAUUACGUGGUCAGAUUGUAAAACAGAAAGAUAACUUAUAUUAGUAGAUAAUCUAAACAUGUCCUUUGUCUAAUCGAAAAUGAGCAAGCCGAUUGAAAAACUAAUAUGUUGUCUAUCAAGGCCAAUCGGGGAGAUGUUUUGUCUUGAGCAUCGGAGUAGAUGACUCCAAGAAGAUAGGAUGUGACUAACUAGACUAAUAGUUCAUUGGAUAGGACCCAAGUAGAACAGAUUCUAGAUUCAUUUAUGGAUUUAUUCAUUUAUGACAUUCAUAAUAUGACAUACAUUAAUCCUAAGUGGAUGAUGGAUUAUGUAUGAGUGACUCGUAUACUUUAAUGUAAGGUAAAGUCUGAGUUCAAAUAGAUAAGGAAUUGAAAGUUGGUACGUUGGUUAUACGACUUUUGCAAUAUGUAGCAUCAUUCACAAUAGUGAAAUUCAUAGUCUAACUAAUGGGUAAAUGAUAUUCUCUCAUCGGCAUUACAUGAUAGAUGAAAAGUAAAUAUGACCACGAGUCGUUUGUCUUUGAGAUAAAUGGCUUAAAAUUACUAUUUGAUAGUAAUUAAAUUUUUAUGAAGGAAGAUGUAAUGGUUACUAUAAGAUAAAAUAGGAUCAUAUUGAGAGAAUAAAUUUAUCCCAAAGAGAUUAAGGAUAUCCUAGGAGGGUAACACACUUAUGACAAGGUCAUUAGACGAGCAUUGAUUAAGUAGUUUUCGUAAUGUUAUGUAAUUGGAGAGAGCUCAGUUACAAUACUAUAGUGAAAUGAUUUUGUGACUAAAUAAGUUUAUAAUUAAUUGGUGAAAAGUUGGAACUUAAUUAUAAAUUAUUUGAGCUCUAAUUAUUUAUAUUCAAUCUGUCAUUUUGCUAGCUCGUUAAAACUAGAAAUGAAUUGCAUGUAGCACCAAAUAAACAAAAAUUGAUGAAGUUAGAGAAAUGGGUUGCAUUCAUAAAUAAAUGUGUUUUAUCACUAAGUAUAGAAAUGACUAGAGAAUUAAUUUAAGAUUUUUGAAUUAUUAUUUAAUUAUAAUUAAGUAAUUGAAGUUUGAAAAUGGAGUUAAAUUAAUUAGUUAUUAUGAAACCAUUGAAUAUGAAAAAUAAAUUUAUUUCCUUAGAUUCUUUUGCGAUAAAGUUGUAAUGACUUUAAUGGAAUUAGAAUUGAAUUGAAAAAAAAUUUAAUUAGGAAAUUAAUUAGUUAAUUUAAUUAAUUUUAAUUAAACAAAUAAUAUUUAUUUUAAAAAAUAGAAAACAAAUAUUAGGUUGGAUUAAAUUAUGAAGUGUUGGGCCAAAAGUUCAGGAACCACAUAUAAUUGAACCUAAUACAGGAGAGGCUCAAAUCCUCUUAUAUCACAUGUGAGGGGUGGUAACCCUAGUGUUAUUUUCUUAGAAUAAAUUAUAUUUUAUAUGAAUUACAAUUUCUAUCGUUUUCUAUUGAGAGAAUUAAUUUCCUACUGAAAGUAAUAAAAUUUGUUUCUUAUUUUGUGUUUGAUUCGUGUUACUCAAGCUCACACUCAGUGCAAUUCGAGGUACGAUAAUAGCGGAGAAGUUCGUUUGGUUGAAAGCUGAGAACAAUUCAAAUUCGUCUCACACAAAGCAAGUACUGAGGAAAAAAAUAAUAAAAUAAUAAGUUUUUAAGAGAAAACUUAUUGCUAAAUAUCACAAACCGACUUGGUUUUUAAAUUUUUUAAAUUCCAUUCUAACUUAAAACAGUUUUUUUAACCGGACUUUUUCAAUAGUUAUUUUCCCAAUUGGGGUGGUUUGUAACCGUUGUUUUAUGAUAAAAUGAAUUACUUCUUUAUGGGAAAAAACCCUAAAAGCUUUAAAAAUUUUGGCGUACCGUAGAAUUUUCAUUCAAAAAAUACCAGGAUUUGCGGUUGGAUACAUAAGAGCACUACAUUAGUGAAAUUAUGAGAAAUCAAACAAUUUGUUAAAAUAUAAUAAAUAUAUCAAAUAAAGAAAAUUUAGAUGUUAAAAGUAAUCCAAAAAAUAUAGAAAUCUUCUUUUAGAGUUGAAUUUAUCCUCUUCAAUUUAUACUCUUUCUUCCAUUGCUGCUACAUUUCUACUCCAUUUAUUAUUGCUCGUGUUCAUCGAAGUCAAUUAUAAGUAUCAUAUACAUGAAAAAUUGACUCUGUUUUCACAGAAUGACAAAGCUGAUUCGCAAUUCAUUUCAUUUGGUGGUGUACUCCACAUUUUUCUCUGUUCAUCAUAGCUUCCUAAUACAGCAGACUGGUUUUGAUCACCCAUUAGAUCUGCAAAUAGAUGGUAAUAAGCCAUAGUGUCAACAUUUUUCAAUACUUUUACUGAUUUCUCUUGCUUGUUGUCGAUCAAAAUCUGUCCAUCCAUGGAUUCAUCACCUUCAGCAAUCACUUUGAUUGGCAUUUCUUCAAUGGUAGGUUUCAGAUUGUGAUGAUCUCCACCCAUGAAUAUUGCACCAAUGAUUUCACCUAUGAAUGUUUCCUGCAAAUGAAAAAGAGAUUCAGUUGUUGCAGAAGAUCCAAAGGUUCUUUAAUGGAGAAAGUUACAAAACAUUACCAUAUGGUGAUAUCGGUGAUGAGAUUGCUGCAAAGUGUAAAGCUUGAACAGUAGACGCUCGACAAACUGAGCUUCAGGAGUCAUCCUUGUCAGCUUCAGCUUCUCUAAGAUCUCUGGAAACUGACUGACUUUACGCUGAGUUCCAAGUGGGAUGAGCGUGAUGUUCAAUCCUGAUUCGAAGACUGUCUUUGCAGCUAACGGAUCGAGAAACAUAUUGAAUUCAGCAUACUUGUUUGAAGAAAUAGUGAACACAUUUCCUUUAUCAUGACGACUUCGGCUGAUAUGUCCUCCAACAAUAUACGCAUCCUGCAUUAAGAUUGUAAGUAAAUAGUUGAUUUCAUUACAGAAACCAUAUAUCCUGUUACAUACAUAAACCCAUAUAUCCUUCCAUACAUACACGCAAAUAUAUUCAUGCAUACAUCCAUUCAUCCAGCCAUACUUUAAUACAUUCAAGCAUGCAUACAUAUAAUUAGUUAAGCAUGACUGCAUGAAACAACUGACUAAUUCCUCAGUUCACUAUGAACAAAAAGAAGGGAGAGAUGGAAUCCAAGUACCUGAAUUAGUGAAGCUGUUUUUGUUUUAGUUAUAAUGUUAGCUAAACCAGUCAGAGGUCCAUUGGUCAGUAUGUUAAUCUUUGAUCCAGGAUCCAUAGUUUUCAAUAUCGAAGUCCAAAUUUCCAGUGCCAGAGGUUGUCUUGGUAAAUUGACUGCGUUUUCUGCUGUAUAUCUGCAGUGGAAGUCCAUCUAUUUAAUAUUUCACAUCUCAGCUCUUCAGAUAAGAACAAGAAGGAUGUUAGAAGAAUACCUUCGAGGACUUCGUGGUAAGUCCCGAGCUAGUCCGUAAAGAGUAUCUGAAUCGAGAAAUCCCCCACUUCCAUGUGGGACAGACUUAGCAUACUUGCAGUCUCCAACACCAGGGAAUACAUUGUCAGACUGGUUCAUUGCAAAUACAUCUCCAAGACCAACUGGAAUGUCAUCCCGGCCCAUCAUGUGCAGUAAAUCAUAGAUUAUAUCUAUGGUUGCAGCAUUAGCCCAACCAGUUGGAGUUACUAAAAUUGCCUGGAUAAAUAGAAAUACGAUGGACAUCAAAUCAAACCAUCUUGUUCAGAUUUUGCGCAGCAUAUUAGGUCAUUCGCAGACGUUUUUUGAGAACUUGGGCAUGCGUUUUAUGGUGUCAUUUAGAAGUGAGACCAUUUACCUUUAGGUUGAGAACUUCCACAGGCACUUUCAGGAGAUAAAAUAGAGACACAAAAUCGCCAGCACUCAUAUCCAUAUCGAACACAACAGGUUUUCCGAGCUUCUUGUUUUUGAAAUCUGGUUUGUAAAGAACUUCUCUGUAAUAAGGAAAUUCUGUCGAAAGAUUGAACCUCCCAGUAUGUUGGGGUCUGCUUAGAACCUGCGUUUGAUCAAAGCAUAUGACAUUCAUCAGUACACAUAUAAUUGUAAAGAUCAGACAAAUCGAAGUUAGAAUAGUAAGAACUUACAUCCAAAAAGCUUAAGAAAAAUUGUCUAUCAAGUUUGCUGCCAAUGUCCGGAUUAGGUUUUGCCUUGGUAGCAACAAGAACCUGAACUGCAUCCGGACCAGUUACCUCCAUUGUGUAGCCAUCCUAUAUGAUUAUAAUGCAAUGAAUCCCUCAGAUAGUAAGAAUUAGUUGGAAUGAGCACGGAAUCCACAGUGGUCUAACUCUAACCUUGCACAUCCCUAUUCCAUUUUCUACGAAGCAAAAUGGAUCCCGAAGUCCUGUCUGAACGUGACCACUAUGCACUCCAUCUUUCUUCAAUUUAAACUUUGGAACUUCAAGGUUAUCGAAGAAUGGAUUGGAGCCAUCGGAUAUUCCAUAAGGCUUAUUUGAAGUAAUGACAGUUAUGUUCAUGUAUUCCAUUUCUGCAAAUUCAUUCUCCCCAUUAUUCGGGUCUGAACUACACAUGAUCGAGACUGCUACACCAGCCAUGAAGGAGUCCCACAUGAAGUAGCUGUACUGAAGGUACAACAAAAAUGGCAAUAACAGUAGAAAAAUACCGUGUUAGAACAGCAUAUGCAUUUCAAAGUUGGUAACCAUCAGAAAAAUGAUAUCAGUAUCUAUCAAAAACUUUAUCCGGAGCUUAUGGAGUCAACGUUAAGAGGCGGAACCUAGUAGGUCUGGGAUUUGAAUCCCACCAUCUAUAACCCUUUCCCCUAUCCUUGAUGUGCUUCCUCUUUUGCAGAAAACAUACCGUGUUGGGUUGAUUAGAAGAUCGGAAAGCUGUUUUCGUUUUCAAGGACUGGAAGCAAUAUUCCGCCUCAUACGUUCCCUGGCUCUCCUCAAAUGCCCUGAAAAACUCCUCAGUUACGGGGAUGGUGUUUGUUGCAUCCAAGGGAACAACGGUGAUUGGAAUACCAGAAUGAAACACCUGCAAUAUCAGCCAUAGAUAUACAAGUCUAUACACAAUCAGUUAACAAGGACAUUGAAUGUUAAUGUUAUUAAUGAAUUAUUUCUCGAGUUACCUGAUAAGCGGCAAAAGGAUCACCAAAGAUAUUAAACUCAGCAUAAGGAUUACUGUUGUAAUCAGUGAACAGAUUACCAGGAUAACCACACUGCCCUGGCUGGCAAGAUGAGCUAGCAUUUCUGGGACAGCAUCCGUUUGGAUUUUCGGACCUCACUCCACCACCCAUAACAUAUAUAUGCUCAACAUUCUUCUUAAGCUGUGGAUUAUUCAUUAGAAAAAGGGCAAAAUUCGUGUGAGCUCCAAUAAGGAACACCGUAAUUGGACCUGCAGAUAUCGCUUCAAUCAUCACUUGUUGAGCAGUAGGCUGUUGAAGAGGUGAAUAUUUCCUGGUGCCCUGAUUCCAUGAAAGAAACCAUAAAAAAGUUAGCCAAUUCACCAAUUCAGCUCCCAUUGGGAUGUUUACUGAACAAUUACCUGUGGAAGAAAGGCUUUUCGAAGACCAAAGUUAGUGUCCGUAUCUAAUCGUCCUCCUCGACCUACUGGAACUGCUUGCCUAUAUCUACAAUACCCAGUUGUAGUCAUCCCCUGCUAAAUGUAGCAGAAGUUAAGCAUAAACAACAGAUAACUCGUAUUUGAUGCUCAUUUCCGAGUUCAUGUAACAUAGUGCACUAGUGUUGGUAAAUGUAACUCUAGUGAUUGGAUUGAAAAGAGAGAUUUAAACCUGUUCAAUUAUAGGAAGAUAUCCACCAACAUUUGGCAAUAUGGUGCCAUCGUCAAGGAUCCCACCUUCGCCGCCAACUCCGACAGCUAUGUCGUCACGGUUCAUCAUGUAAAGCAUGUCAUAUAUAUGAUUCACAGUAUGCCCGGCAUCAGACCAUAUAUUUGCGUUGAUUGUGAUUGCCUGCAUAUUAAAAUUAUUAUCAAUGAUAUGUCUACCUAUUGCAUCCAAGCAUAUUUCAUCUCUUAAAAUUUCGCCCUAAUUCAACAUAUAGCAGAAAAGAAUUCACCUCCAAAUGAAAUUCUGAUGGAUUAAGCUUCAAGAGAUAGAAGAGAGCAAAGAAGUCAUCGGUAUCGACAUCUGUAUCCAAAAGAAUUCGGAAAGGCUUGGCCUCAACACCGUAAAAGAUUGCUCCUAAAACUUGAAUAAUAAAAAGUAGAGCAACCCAAGAUUUUGUGCGCCGCCACAUCAUGGCUCUUGAUUGAACUGAAAACAGAGGCUACACCAGCAUCGUUUCAGACCCAGGAAUCAAGGCAAACAAAGAUGUUGUUCUUAGCAGUUUCUAAAACUUGUUUUGAGAUAAGAAAAGGGGGUCUUCGCCUCGGUGAUAGAGAAAGAUUCCGCAACUAGAAACACGUGAAAGAAGUGAGACAGAUGAGAUUCCAUUGAAAAAUGGAAAGAACAAUCAAAUUUGAUAAGUUAAUCAAAUACAAUUUUUUCCAUUCAACUUGAAUGAUUGGAAUAACAAAUCCUUUUUAAUUUUGUUAAUUUUAAAAAUGAAUAAAUGGUUCUCCUUCAAUAAAAAUUUACACAAUUAAUUAUAUUGUAAAUAAUUUUCCUUCAUUUGAUUUGACUCUAUUUACAACUUCAUUUCAAGUUAAAACACUCACCUAUCAUUUCUACGGUUUGAAAAUAGAUUUUUUUUUCUUGUAAUAUAAACUAUUUUUAAAAAAUAUAUCUACUAUUAUUUAUUUAUUUUAAUUGAAUUAGUGUAACAUGUAAUCACGAAUUCAUUUAAUUAAAAAAUUAUCCUUUUACAUAUUUAUAUAAGAAAAUAUUUGAAAUUUGUAGAAUCUACAAAUAGGACAACUAUUAUAGUAAAAUAUAAAUAGGAUAAACGGUCAUAAUAAUCAUUUUUGUUUACCUCAAGUUAUAUUUUUGUCACUUAUGUUUGAAAUGUUACAUUUUAAUCACUUACAUUAUUGUUUUGUUACGAAAUUGUCACUGAGUUGUUAAUAGUGUAACGACAAUCUGAUGUGGCUUCUUAUUUCAUCAUAUCAGAUUAAAAUUUUAGGUCAAAUUAUACAACUAAUCACUAUAUAUUUUUUUGAACAAUUUAAUUUUUUUCUUUAUUUUCUUCUUCAUUACAAAAUAUUGUGUCUAAAGGUUAAAUGUUAAAAUCAAAACUUUAAACAAAUGUUAAUUCAUUACUACAAAAACAUUUUUAUUCAAUCCAAAGUAGACUUGUCCAUGGGCCGGGUUGGGCCCGGAAAAAUUUUGGCCCGACUCUUAGGCCCGAGCCAGGCCCGGCCCGGAAUAUGGGCCUAAAAUUUUGCCCAGGCCCGGCCGGAAAAAAAAUAAGCCCGAGCCCGGCCCGAUUUUUAAUAAACACACAAAAAUAUUUUAAAAAUAAAAAAAUAAAAAUAUUUUUAAAGUAUUUUAAAAUUAAAAAAUAAAAAAAAUAUAUUUAUUAUAUUCGGGCCGGGCUGGGCUCGGGCCAAAAAAGUUGAGACCAAGCCCGGCCUAUUUUUUAAACGGGCCUCAUUUUUUUGCCCAAGCCCAUAUUCCGGGCCUAUAUUUUUACCUGAGUUCUAAUCCAAAGUAAAAAAAAGAAAUUAAUAAAGCUUUUUUAUUUUCUUAUUUUUUUCGUCCUCUUCCUCUUAUGUCUUUAUUCCUUUGUCCUUUUUCUUUGAAUGUUUCAAUUCAUGUCUGUCUACCUCAUUAUUCCUCGUUUUUUCUUUCAGUUUCUUAAAAAUUUCUGUAGGAGUUUCCUUAGCUGGACAUGUAAGGAUAUUGCUUACAACUCUUUAACAAAGCAUCAUUUUUUUUUUUUUUGUAAAUUUUCAUUCUUUUUCUCAUUUGAAUCUUGUGUUAUUUCAUCUUUAUGCAUCGAAUUAGCAUAUGGUUUCUCAUAUUUUGUUAUGUAAGACCUUAAUUUGAUCUUACCAAAGUUAGUGACUUUUUAGUUUGUUGCCUAGCUUUCCCAGUGUAGAUUUUAUGGUUUUUUACUCUUAGCAUUCAAUCUAGCUUCAUGUUCUUGCCUACUUACUUAUUUCUCUUCUUUCAUCUUUCAGCUUUUUAUUACUAAUUAAGAUUAAGUUUUGAUUUGUUGUGUGUAGUUAUUAAUUUCAUUCUAAAUUUUCUUUAGCGGCAAAGCAUGGGGAUCUAAUAUGCCAGUUGAAUUUAAAAGCUGUUAAAUUUCAAUAUGAUUCAUUCAACUGCAAAAAAAAAAUAUGGGUAUAUAUAUCUCAACACCCCAAAAUUGAAAAAUUCUUUGAAGAUGGUGAGAAUGUUAUGUUUUUGGAGUGAAGAAUCUGAAAAGAGAAAAUUAAUGGGGAAGAAAAAGAAAAGAAAAGAAAAAUAAAGGAAAAAAAUUGUUCAAAAAAAUAAAAUUAUAGGGACUAAUUGUGUAAUUUGAUCUAAAAUUUUAGUUUGAUAUGAUGAAAUAACAUGCCACCUCAUAUUACUAUUACAACAUUAACAACCGUUAACAACUCAGUGAUCAUUUCGUAACAAAACAAUAACGUAAGUGACUAAAAUAUAAUAUUUCAAACAUAACUAAAAUAUAAUCUGAAGCAAACAAAAGAAACUAUUUUGGUAGUUUACCCAUAUAAAUAUUAAAAAAAAGACACAUGUAACAAUUUUUUAAGUUACUCGUGAAAUAAAAAUGAAAAUACAAUGUCACUAUAUUAAAUACUAACCCUUUUGAAAAAAAAAAUUAUAAGUAUAGUGGCCAAAUCUUUAACACUUAAAUGGAUUUAUUUACUAUUUGGCUCUUAAAUUAUAUACUUAAACAUUUUCUUGUCUUAUUUUAAUACUUUAACUUUGCUCUUAAAAAACUAACAACAUUAAAAAUUAAGCUGGACAAUGAGAUCCAUCAUGUCAUCGACGAUAGGGUACAUUGAUAGAUCAUAUGGCAGGUUGACUAAUGGUAAUCUCAUUAAGAUUAACCGAUGUUAUUCAAAGUUGGUCAUGAGAUCAAGCGACGAUAGUAAAAAAAAAAAAAAUCAUUACAAGUUAAACAUUUUUAAAAUGUAAAAAAAAAUUGUUAAAUUAUUUUAAAUAUUAAAAAUUUGAAAUAAUAAUUAAAAGUUAUUGAAAAUUGUAGAACUUAUAAAAAACUUUAAAAACUUGUAAAAGAAUUAUAAAAAUUGUUAUUUUUUAAAAUGUAAAAAUUAUUUAUUUUGGGUGGGUGGGUUUUAAAUUUUUUUUAAAAUUUUUAAAAAAAAUUUACAUUUUUUUAAAUUAUAAAACCCGCCAACCCAAAAUAAUAAUCUUUAUAAUUUUAUAUUUUUUUACAAAUUUUUAAUGUUUUUAAUAAGUAAGUUUUACAAUUUCCUAUACUUUUUAAUUAUUUUCCCAACUUUUUAAUAUUCUAAAAUAAGUUUUUUUUUACAUUUUUAAUAAUUUUUACAAUUUUUUUAACUUUUAAUGAUUUUUUUACCGUCAACGGCCAACAUAGGUUAACCUACCAUAGCAUCUGUAAAAUGCCAUGUUAUCAGUCAAUAUGACAUGCCAUCAAUAACAUGGCACGAUCUCAUUGGUCAUUUUGUUAAUGUCAUUAGAUAUUAGGUACUAAAACAGGUAAAAAGAACAAAAUUCAAGUAUCAAAAUGAGACAAAAAAAUUAUAUACCAAAGUGAGAAAACAUAUAUGACUUAAGGGCCAAAUAGUGAAUAAAGCCUCUUUAAAUAUACAAAAUUCUUGACUAGAAGAAACUAGACGAAGACUUACCUGUUUGAAAAAGAGAAAAAAAAAUGGAUCUUACCAACCUAACUAUUUGUAAGUUUUGUUUUAGUCAUUUAACUAAAAAAGUUACAAUUUGAUCAUUAAUAUUUUUUAGAUUAUUUUUUUAUAUCACUUGAUCAUUAAAUGACUAAUGAAAUGAUGAUGUAGCAUUUUCAAAAUUGAUAUAAUAACCAAUAGAAUUGUAACACCCCUCACCCAUUCCGAUUGCAGGACCUGAGUUAUAGGGUGUUACGACAGCCAAUGGAAUAGUUACAUGCAAAACUAAAUUCAAAAUUUCAAAUAACAUGCAAUUAUAACAAGCAUCAUGCAUCACGAACAAAACUGAGUCUAAAUCAAGCUUACGAAAGCUCUAAAAUUAACUUGGGAAUGAGCAAGGAUCAAACACUAAAAUUUCAUCAAAAGUCACAAGGCCGUGUGGUUGAGGCGUGUAACAAACUAAGGCCGUGCAAAUUCUAGAUGACCAAAUUUAUAAUACUCACACGGGUGUAUGGCUAGCCCAUGUGGAACACGGCCAUGUGGUACAAAAUAUGCCAAGUAAUGCCUACUUUAUGUCAAAUUAUAUCAAUAAUCUAAUUGAUUAUCAAAUGGACACUUAAACUUGCAUAAAACCUUUUCAAAAUAUAUAUCAAAGCAUUUAUUAACCAAUGACAAGUACACUCAACUCAUUGCACAUUAAUUGACCAUUUGGUAAAUAUGCCAAUCUAUGAAUUCGUCAAACUCUUCAAACAUGUACAAAACAUUCAUUUAACUCCAUCUCAUACACCAAUUUAACAUGCCUCAUUUGCAAGGUUGAAACUAGGGGGCUGGAAAGGGCUUCGACCCUCCCUAAAAUGGAAAAUUUUCCAUUUAAGCCUUUUAAUUUUUUUAAUAUUUUAAAUUAGUAAAGAUAAUUUCAUUUUGGCCCCCUAAAAAUAUAAAAAUUUGAUUUAAUCCUUUAUAAAUUAUAAAUAUAAAUGCUAUUAAAAUGGUGAAAUUGUAUUUUUACUAUAAUAAAAAUUAUAAUUUAAUUUCGACCCCCCUAAAAAAUUUUUCUAAUUUCACCCCUGCUCAUUUGACACCAAGCAUCUCACUAGUUUGAACAUUUUAUAUCAUAUUAGUCAUGCAAUUAUCUCACAUUAUUCCAUCACAUUUUCAUAUCAAAACAAACAUAUCAAUCUCAUCACAUUAAAUCAAUCAUCCACAUUCAAAAUUGGUCAUUCAAAUGUUUCAAGCAUAACUUACCAUAAUACUAUCAUGUACACUUUUAAACAUCAUACUUAAACAUUCAACAACCAAAACUAAGCAUCACUUAAGGUUAAAAUUCAUGAACACUCAAAAUAACAUAUAUACAAUACAAAUCCUAUUUACAUGCCACAUAAUCGAGUCCGAAACAAUUUAAAAGACUACCGAAUUAGAAGCUAGAUAGUGUGAGCUCCGAAGUGAUUCGACCGCCUCAUUCUGCAAAAGAUAACUACAAACAGAGAAAACAUAACAGAGCAAGCAUUACAUAUGCUUAGUAAGUUCAUGUAAAAUUUUACUUAACUUACCUUGAUCAAUCAACAAUAUAAACAAUUAAGACAUACUAAGACUAACAUGGAAUUCCUUUGGCAUCCUGUUACUUUCACAUGUACGUCAACAAGUACAUUUAGAGGUUAGUUCAUUUACAUGACAUGAAUUUAUAACAUUAUCAAAUACAUGUUUAACAUGUAACACCCCUAACUCGUUUUCGUUGCUAGAUUAGGGUUACGAAGUACCAAGCAAAGCAGAACAUUUAACUUCACAACAGAAACAAUUAUACAAAUUAAAUGUUAACAUUUAAUAAUUGAAUUUAAACAUGGUAAAAAUUACACUUACGGGGCUUAAAUCAAGCCUACGGGGCCCUAAAAUAAGUUUAGGAACAUUCCGGAAUCAAUUUGAAACAAAACAGAAAAUUUUAGAAAAACUUGAAAAUUUUGGAAACAGGGGUCACACAGCCAUAUGGCCAGCUGUGUGACAUAACCCAAACCAUGUGGACAUUCAAAGUCUAGACACACGGUCGUGUCCCAACUCGUGUGCCCAACCGUGUGGAUAUUUGAAGUUGGGUCACACGGUCGUGUGCUAGACCAUGUUACAUACUGCCUUAAGACACACAGUUAUGUCACAGGUCGUGUCUCAGACCAUGUGAAACCUGUACCUAAAACAAUAAUGACACAUGGCCAUGUGACAGCUCGUGCCCCAGACCGUGUGUUUCACAAAUUACCCCUAAAACAAGCCAAAACAUUAACCUUUUUCUUGCAAAACAAACCAUAACAUUUCCAAUCAUUUUCACACGACCAAAACACUUUAAAACAUAACAAAUUCAGCCAACUUAGGUGCCUAACCAAUAUGCCAUCAAUUGGCAACACAUCAACUUGACUCAAUUCAACAUUUCAAGUUCAUUCAUUAAGCAUAAAUUAUAUAUAACAAAUAACCAUUUCAAAGCAUACCAUUCAACCAUAUUUUUCCUACUUUCAUAUGAUCAUACAUAAAUGUCACAUACCAUAUAUUUACACUUUCAUUUGCAAUCCAUCAACUAAGGACAUUAAGACACAUAUAAGCUUGGCACAAACUCAAAACAAACCAAGUUAUCAAAUCAUCAUUCAAGAUCUACUACAUGCCUUUUAUAACCAUCAACCAAAGUAACCAAAAACUACCAAAAUGAUGGGUGGAUAGUGUGAUUGUUCUCCGCCGAGAUUCUAACUGGUUGAGCUUUUCGAUGAUCUACAGGAAAAGAAAACAACUAAUAUAAACAAAUAAUGCUUAGUAAGCUCGUAUAAAUCUUAAACGUAAACUUACUGAAUAGGCUCAAUUUAUGUAAGUCAUAAAUAAUUCCUUUGACAUGCUUAAGAGAUUAUUCAUUUCCUAUUACAACACCAACCUCACAAGUUAGGAAGUUCAAUAAUGAAACAUCAACAUUCAUCCACAUCAAGGAACAUAUAAUUAAAAGCAAAUACAUAUACAUAACAUUUAUCACAUCUCUAAUAUGUGACAUUCAUACCUUUAAAGCUUUUAUGCCAAAAAUUUCAAUUCUAUCUAUUAUAGUUUCAUAACAUUUUAUAUAAUUAAGUUCAUUCGUUUAAGCCUUUAUUACCCGUUGAACUAAAUGAAACAACAUCGGAUAUAUGGGAAUCAUGCUCACAUAAGGUGUACCUAUACAUGUAACUGAAGCCCUUUCUGUAAUGCUCACAUGAGCUAUGAAUAGGCAUGCUCACAUGAGUUGUGGGUCGGAAUGUUAAGCUACACGAUGAUGCUUACACGAGCUGUAGAGAAUCCACAACAAAUGCAGGACCUCAGCCAUCGGUAGGACAUCCAAGACCAGCACCCGAAAUCGUAUAACCCCUAAUGACAUGUAAUUUGUAUCCUAGGUAUUUGCAAGGUUCAAACGGGAUGCAUUACAUCCUUCGAUUCCUUUUUCGAUAUAACAUUUCAUAUGCAUAUUCAUGAAAUUUACAUUUUCCACAAUUUGUCAAUUUAUCACCAAAAUCAUUUAAUCUCAUUAAGUAUAUAACACAUAAUAAUUAUUCAAGAUAUAACUAACAUAAUUAUUCAAUAACAUUUAAACAAAUCUACAAAUAAUGAAUUAACCAUUAUGCGAACUUACCUUGACUACAACAAUUGUAAAAGUAAAGUUGAUGAUUAAUCCAAAACCUUAGUUUUUCCUUGAUUCAAGUCUAGUUCAUUCAAUUAAACCAUUCCAACACUUAAAUAAGUAAUUUUAUACAAUUAAGUCCUUCCAUCAUCAUUUUAUAAAAUUACCCCAACAAUUUACACUUUAUGCAAUUUAGUCCCUAUAUCUGAAACUUGCAAUUUAACACUUUUAAUUAAAAAUUCAUGCUAGCUUCCCUUAGUCUUAUAACAUCCCAUAUUUUUCCUUAUUUCGCACAAUUUACAUUAAAUUUUACUAUUUCAACAAUUUAAUCCCUAAACAUUAAAAUCAUCAAAAAUCACUUAACAAAAUACUUAUAUUUAACAACCAAGCUUAAUAAUCUAUCAAUUAAAUUCACAAACACACUUAAACAUUCAUGGUAACUCCCUAAACUUUUAACAAUUUUAUAAAUUGACCCCCAGGUUAGCUAGAUUAACCUACAACGAUUACAAAAACAUAAAAAUCAUUAAAAACAGGCUUAGUAACACUUACAUGCAAUUGAACAAAUGGCAAGGGAGCUUGAAGCUUUCUUCUUCUAUUUUAAUGGUGGUUUUUCGGUGGUUAAAGAACAAUGAAAGAGAUUAUGCCUAUCUGUUUAUUUUAUUUCAACUUAAUUUAUCUUUUCUUUUAAUUAACUAAUAAAACAUAUAUAUUAACAUAAUAAAACAACAUCAACCGUACCUACCCUUUCAAUAUGGCAUAAUUGCCACAGAAACCCCUUUACCUAUCUUAAAUUAAUCAAUUAACUAAUAUAAACUAACUUUUUAGCUUUUACAAUUUAGUCCUUUUUACUUAAUUAACUAUUUAAAUGUUAAAAUCUCUUAAUCACUCCAUAAAUAUUUUUGUAAUAUUUAUGGGCUCGAUUUAUAGAAGUGAGGUCUGGAAACCUCAUUUUCUAAAAUCACUUGACUUUAGGGACAAACCACUUGAACUUAACAUUUGUUCACUAAGCAAAAAUUAAUCAAAUCAAAAUUCAAUGUAUUGCUAUUAUUGACUCAUAAAUAUUAAAUGAUAAUAUUUACGGACUUACUCGUCAGAUUUGUGACCUGAAACCACUAAAAAAUAGACUGUUACAUAACAACUCAUUUCAUAACAUGUAAUAGUCAUUUCAUAACAUGUAUAUUUAUUUCCAUUCACGUACCGCCAUUUCAUCCAUUUCAUUCACUGUUUCAGUUUUUAUUUUUGCUCACCAUUUCAUACAUUUCAUUCUCCGUUUCACUUUCUAUUUUCGCUUGGAAAACUAAAGAAUAUUGAACUUGGAUACACAAAAUUGAUUUACUUCCACAAACUGUAGAGUUGAUUUGCUUAUACAAGAUUUAUUUGAUGAUGCUCACUCAAGCUGUUGAGAAUUCACAACAUGUGCUGGAUUUUAGGCAUCGAUAAAGAAUAAUUUGCUUUGCUCACACAAGCUGUGAUAUUUAGGCUAUUCACUCAAGCUGUAGGGCAGGUUUUGUUUUGCAACUUUAUUCUAUGUUGCUCACUUGAGUUGUCAAGAAUCUGUAAUACAUGUUGGAUCUCAGCCAUUGAUAAAGAAAUCCCUGAGCAACACCCGAUUUCUUUUUGACCCUUAAUGGCAUGUCAUUCGUAUCUUAAUCAUUUACUAAGUUCACAAGGACACCAUUAUCAUUUUUAUAUCAUUUCAAACCCUGAAAUUGUAUACUCAUUUUUCACAUUUCGAAUAACAAUCCAUAUACAUUCUUAACCCCGUAAUGCCACCAUAUUCAUAUAAUCCAUCUAUAUACAUUUCAAUUCCAUUAAAUACAUCAUACCUAUUUGUGGUAAUUAUAUCAUUCAUUCUUUACGAUUUAGUCCUUUAGAUGCCGAUUUCACCAAAAUUACAUAACAAUUUAAACUAAUAAGUAAACAAUAUAAUACAAAAAUAUCAUGAAUUAAAUAAGUAAGUCUCAUAUGUACUUACCUAGCAAAAACAACAAUUGAUAAGGUGUUAGGAACUAAUCCGUAAUUUUACAUUUUCCUCGAUUAUUAUACGAUUAAUUCAAUUCUUGGUGUAUAAUAAUUUAUUUCAAUUUAUCAAUUCAAAAUCUCUUAUAAAAUUCUAUUAUAAGCAUAUAUCAAUUCAAUUUCAUUUAAAAAAAAUUCCCUAAAGUUUUACAUUUCUUAACCCCGUAAUGCCAUCAUAUUCAUAUACAUUCUUAACCCUGUAAUGCCAUCAUAUUCAUAUAAUCCAUCUAUAUAUACAUUUCAAUUCCAUUAAAUACAUCAUACCUAUUUGUGGUAAUUAUAUCAUUCAUUCUUUACGAUUUAGUCCUUUAGAUGCCGAUUUCACCAAAAUUACAUAACAAUCUAAAAUAAUAAGUAAACAAUAUAAUACAAAAAUAUCAUGAAUUAAAUAAGUAAUUCUCAUAUGUACUUACCUAGCAAAAACAACAAUUGAUAAGGUGUCAGGAACUAAUCUGUAAUUUUACAUUUUCCUCGAUUAUUAUACGAUUGGUUCAAUUCUUUGUGUAUAAUAAUUUAUUUCAAUUUAUCAAUUCAAAAUAUUUUAUAAAAUUCUAUUAUAAGCAUAUAUCAAUUCAAUUUCAUUUUAAAAAAGUUCCCUAAAGUUUUACAUUUUCUUCAAUUUAGUCUCUAAAACAGAAUCAAGCAUAAGUUUAACAUUUAAGCUUUAUUUUUUCAAUCUAUUUUUAAUUUCAUCCUUUUAUAACCCUCUAGAAUCCAUAAUUAUAGAAAUUCCAUGAUAAUUUUGAAAUAAUUACAUUUUAGUCCCUAAACUCAAAACUAACAAAUUUUACUUUACAAGUUAGUCUGUAUUUCAUCUCCAAGCUUAUAAAAUAACAUAAUAGCACAAAAAACUUCAAAAUGUAUCAAUGAUAAUGUCACAUCCCAAAAACUGGGUUAGGAGAAUUGGAUAUGUAAAUUAGGGGUUAGUGAACCGAAAACCGUAAUUAUAUUAGAUAAUUAAAUAACUAGGAAUUAAUUAAAUAAAAUAUUAAAAUAAUUAUAAUUAAUAAUUUAAAGUUAAUAAAUUAAAAUUAGGUGUUCGAGAACUAAUUUGGUUAAAAUGGAUUUUAAAAACGAGGUUUGAUUUGAAAAUAAUUUUGAAAUUGGUUUUAAUUGAAAAGUAAAGACAUAUUUGAAAAAAAAGGAAGAAAUUAGAGGUGGGUAAAUGGGAAAUGGCCUAAUUUUUAAAAAUGGGUUGCCUAUUUAACAACCCUCACAUCUCCUUCCCUCUCAUUCUUCACCUUCUUCAAAAAUUUACCAAAUACAAAAUCAAAGCUUUUCUCCCAAAAUUAGUACAUCCUUUUUUAUUCCUAAGCUCUCUAAACACAAAAUCUCUUUUCAAUUUUGAAGAACACUCAUGUUUUCAUCCUUAAGAUCCUUAAGAGAUCUUCACACAUUUUAGCUCGAAUUAGCUCCAUAGCUCGUCAAUUUUGCAACAUUGAGGUGAGAUUCUAACUUUUUAUGAUUCAACUAAUUGAGUUUUUAUUUCAAUUCGAGAUUUAAAUGAUUUAAUCAAGAUCUCAAUAUGUCACUUGAUUUUAAGUUGACUUUUGGCUUGAAAAUGGUAGAUCUCAUAUUUCUUGGCUAACCUUUGAUUUUAAAGUGACUUCUAACUCAUUUUGAUCUAAUUAAAAGGUAUUUGAUCUUAAUUUAACAAAUCCUUAAUGAAUUUAAGCAAAUUGGAUGUUUUUCCUUUUUUAAAAGAUCACAUAAGCUUGAUUUUUUUGGAAAAAUUAAAUCGGUGAAAUUGGGUAAAUUUGAUAGUUUAUAUUUGCAAUUGAUGAUAUUUAAGAUGUAUGAAGUUGAAAUCUAAGCUUAGAAGUGAGAUUUGAGUGGUUAAACACCUAUUUGAUAAAACUAGUUAAAUUUUCAGUAUAGAGGUUAAUAGGCUUUGAUCUAGGAUUUUGGAAUGAUUUGGUGGUGUUUCUUGAUGUUAGUAAUGCCAUUGUAAUGUGUUUGAUGUGUAUGAAAAGUGUCAAUUCAUUUGGGAGCUUCUACAAUCAUGGACAAAGGCAAAUAAAAGUUUACUUGAGCAUGGUAGUUGAAACAAUGUUUGCUAAGGUGAGUGGUUUAAUAUACUACAUUUAAACUUUGGUACACAGGCUAAGGUAACAUAUGUGAAUCUCUGGCUUAAUUAGUAUGCGAACCUUGAUUUCUCCUAGUGCAAACCAUUUCAAAUUUGUUGAGUGUUGGGUAUUGUAUGCUAUACGAUUUUAAUGAGCCAAAUGCAUGAAUUUAAAAUGUGCAUGUAGUUAUAAGAAUAAAAUAGGUAGGCCGUAGAUGCAAACCAUGUAGUUGACGUGAUAAGUGUGUGAAUUGUGCAUCUAAUUAUUGCGUUUGUGUGUGAGCUAAAUAUUAAAGGUAAGUUGAAGUACUGUAAUAUAUACAUAUAUGAGUUUUGUUAUUUCAAUAUAAUAUAUAUGGGUUUUGGUGUUAUAUAUAUAAUAUAUAUGUGUCGGUUUUAUUAUAUAUAAUAUAUAUGCGUUUAUAGGUUUUGUAUCAUCUAAUAUAUAUAAAUGUAUAUGGGACUUUUAAUGUAUGCUAAAAUUUGGUGAUAAAGGUCACUAAAUAGGUAGGUAUAUAUAUGUAAUAUAUAUUCGUAUAUGGUUAUGUAAUGCUUGCGAACAGAUAUAAAAAUAAAUAUUAUAAUAUGGAUUUUUAUAACAUAUGAGUUUUAUUUAUAAUGCACAUUUAUGCAUGCACGAACCCGUAAGUGAAUUAUGAGUUUUACGAUAUUGGGAGCUUUUAUUAGUGCAAAAUCAUAUUAUCGUGAAAUGCUAAGUGCAAGCUUAACUGUAGUGUGAACCAAUUAUAUUUGUGUAUUGUGUUAUAUUGUGAACCAUGUUAACUUGGUGAAUUAUAUUAUUAUGGCGAACCAUGUUAAUUUGGUGAUGUAUAUUAAUAUGACGAACUAUAUUAAUUUGCCAAACUGUGUAUUGUGAGAUUUUGAGUUGUAUUGUAUGUAAGCUAAGCUAUUGCGUGCCCUAUGAUAAAUAAAAUAUGCGAACAAUGAUUUAUGUGAUAUAUGUCAUGAAUGAUAUGUGAACUGUGAUUAUGCGUGCAAUAUAUGUUGCAUGGAAGUGAUAUUAUUUGCGAACCAUGCUCUAUUGCGAAUUGUGAACUGUGUUAUAAUGUGUGAGCUCUACUUAAUUGUGAGCCCUAUUAUACUGAAUAUUGUGAAUGUGUUAAAGAGAUAUUUUGGCAUUGUGACCUUAUAGAACCAUUGGAUAUAGUUGGCAUGCCAUAGGAUUGUGAGUACUCACCCUUUUUAUUACGAUGGGUUGUGGCCCAGAGAUGCGUUGGAGAGAUAAUGGAAUGUUGAGCAUAGCUCCAUUCACCGUAGAUAGCGUGGUGUGUUUGGAGAAUGUGAGCAUACGUGCUACGCUUACAUGGAGAUAGCGUAUGACUUUAUAAGUCAUAAGGUGUGUUUUGGAGAUCCGUUUAUCCAAUGUGUAGUGAUAGAGUCCCCUAUAAGUUUCAUAAUCACAAAAAAUGUCAAUUUAUCAUUAUUUGAGAUACAUGAGUUAUGAUGGAGCAUGAACUGUUAUUUUGCAUGAAUUAUUAUUCGGUAUGAAUUGGUAUUUUAUAUGAACUAUUAUUUUGCAUGAGCUGUCCUUUGGCAAGAACUGUUAUAUGCCCAUUUUAUGUGAAUUAUUUAUUAUAUGUGCACCACUUAUUUUAUGAGAAUUGUUGUGUCGUGUGAUUUACUAUUUUGUGUAGACUGCAAUAAUAUGUAAACCGUUAUUGUUUGUCACCUUGUAACCCAACUGAUGUGUUUAUUUGUAGUAUGUUUGAGCACUUACUGAGCUUUCAUAAGCUCACCCACUCUUUUAUAAUAUUGUAGUGACUUAGCUUGUGAAGAGGUGUGGGAGUGAGUCAUCUAAGUGAUCCAAAUCGAGGCUAUACCUGGGUAUGUCGUUGUAUUCCCAAACCCAAUGAGGAAGGCAAUGCGGGACCAGGUUAUUAGAUUUAGUAUUAGACUUAUAAUUUUCGGGUUGUAAUUGGACACUAUGGACUAUUUAAUUGUUUGGUUUAAAACUUUUAUCAUUGCAUUAGAUAGAUGAUUGAAUGAUGAAUUAUGAUUGUUUGACAAUUGGUUUGAAUAACUGUUCGACUAACUUGUAAGUGCAGGUUGAAGAGCCGCUGGUCAUCGAAGUAAGCUUUAGAUGUUUUAUGUGUGAUUUGAAUACAAACAUGUGCUUGGUAUGCAUGAGAUGUAACACAGAAUUUGGUUAAGUCGCGUGAACUAUUAAAUGUCUACUAACUAAUUAAUUAAUAAUAUUAUGAGGUUGUGCGAGAUGCUUUAAUAAAUUUUCCAAAAUAAUACUUGUUGACACCAUUUUUUUGACAAAACGGGGUCGACUUGGACAAAAACGAAAAUGAGAGUCGCCACCAAUCCUUUUUGAUAAGGUGUGAUCGGGUCACCUUGAAAAGUGAUUGUUUUUAAUAAAAGAUUUGAUUUUAUGAAAACAGCGAUUUUGGUCCACGAAAUUCAAAAAAACAAGUUCGAGAGUCGGUUACGCACGAGGAAGGAUUAGCACCCUCGAUACGCCUAAAAUUGGUACCUAGUUAAUUACUUAAUGUCUUAGUGUCAAAAUUUUAAAACUUUGAUGAGAUUUAAAAUAUGAUCCUUUAUUGAAAUGUUGAAAAAUUUUGGGAAAAAGACAUGUUUCACGUUAUUCAAGAAAGAAACUUAUAUCCAGUAAGUUAGGAGACAAUGUCUUGAAUUCCCGAUGCGCGAAUGAAUGCUAAAAUUUACUUAUUUAAAAAAUAUUUAAUUCGGGUUUAGAAAAGGGGUCAUGCCCAGUAAGUUAGGACACGAUCUUUUUUUUAAAUCCCGAGAUCAUUUAAAACUUGAGAGAAAAAAAAGAUUCACGUAUUUAGAUUUAUUUGUGAAAAUCGAAACCCAGUAAGUUAGGGUACGACCUUCUCGAAUCUAAACACGAGGUUUUGCUUAUUCAAAAAUCAUAAUUCAUGCAUCGAAUUAAUCUAACUUGAAAUGGUAGAAAUGAAACUCAAUGUUAAUAUGCGUACAAAACAAUAUUGGAUACGAUGGUGUAAAAGAAAUACGAGCAAUAGCAACAAAAUGAGAUAAAUAAAAGGACAAAACAAUAACAUACAAGAAUACAAGCAUAUAAGCAAAUAAAAUUAAAACAUUCUUUCAAAAUAAUAAUGAAAAUGUAAAUAAAUAAUUAAAGGAAAUGAAUACAAUUAAAAAUGUAAAGAGAUAUAUAUGUAUGCAUAUAGAUAUAAAUUUAAAAAAAAUAUGUAUAUGUGUAUAUAUAUAUGUAUAUAUAUGUAUAUAAAAAUUAUGAAAAUAAAAUAGUAAGAAAUAUAUAUAUAAAAGUGUGUGUAUAUAUAUUUACAAAAGUUAAAAAUAUGUACGUAUAUAUAUAUUAUAAGAAGAAUAUGUAUAUAUAUAAAUUAUAAAGUAUAUAAAAAAAUAUAUAAGUAUGUAUAUAUAUAACAAAAUCUAAAAGGGGUAUAAAUGGGUAAAUAAAAAUAAUAAUAAGGUAAGUAAUAAUAAUAAAUACAAUAAUAAUGAUAAUAAUAAUAAUAAGUUUAAUAAUAAUAAUAAAUAAUAACGGGACUAAAUUGAAUAUAAAACAAAAUCACGGGGGAGAAAUCAAAAAUAAAAUAAGACAAAGGAUUAAUUUGUGACGCGUGCGAAAGGAGGGGGACCCAAAAGGAAAUAUCCCGCCAUCCAAAACGCAUCACUUUGCACGGGACUAAAAUGAAACAAAAAUAAAAUUGUGCAGCUAAAUUAAAAUAAAAGAAAAGAACGAAAAAAGGCCAAAUUGCAACGCGUUGCAAAAUCGGAGGGACUGCAUGCGCAAAUACCUCUUUUUAAGAAAACACGCGGAUCCUCCCCUAAGGUCGGGUCACUACGCGGGUCAGGGCCAAAACGGCAUCGUUUUGGCACCUGACCCUUAAUGGCAAAACAGCGCCGUUUAGCUUAGGGUACUUAAACCAGAUUUUUUUUAAAAACCUCAUUUCAGCCACUUUUUUAAAAAAAAUUCGAAACCCUUCUUGCUUUCUCUCAAACAUCCGGCCUUUAGGUUGGAUGUAGCGCCGCCAUAGCGCCACCGUGGACGGUGGCCGGUGCUGCGCGAGAUGGUGUUUCAGCCUUCCGUUUUAGGGCCCGAUUUAAGGUUGGGCUUUCUUGGCUCGAAGGCUGCGAGAAAGGAUCCCCCAAACUCAGCCUUUGGGGGUCGAUUUUAGAGAUGGGAGGGCCUCCGGCGGUGGAGCCGAGCGGCAUUUUCAGGUAGAUCUGCCCCCUUUUCUUUUUAUUAUUAUUUUCGUUUGUAAAAAAAUAAGAGAAGAUGAGAAGAGAAAUAAUAAUAAUAACAAUAAAAAAAUCACCUUUAAAAAACGUUUUCUAGUUUUUAUUUCUCAAAAUCUUUGUGAAAGAAGAGGGGACCCCCUUAAAGUGAUUUGAAUGGCUUUUUAUAGUCAUUUUACAAUUUUUUGUCUAUUUCUUUUUAAUGUCUUUUCUUCCUUAUUUUGUAGGUGCAAGUGGCGAUGUGAUCGUGGCGGUGGCGAGUGGGCAGGUGGCUGCAGGCAGCGGUGGCAGAAGAAGACCCUAGGUGCAGUGCACCUAGGGCUAGGGUUUCCAGACCUUUUUUUGUUUUGGGCCAUUUGGGUUGUAGAAAUUAGGCUGGUGUUUUAAUUGGGUUAGGGUGUUGGGUUCGUUUUUGGGUCUGUUAUUGGGCUGGGCAAAAUUGAGCUUGUACAGCUACCCCUCUUUGCUCGUUGUCGUGUAACGAAAAUAGAGCAAAGACCAAGAAAGACCAAUUUUGCCCGGUCUCGCCAAUUCUUGACUUAUUCUGGUGCUUCUCUUCUUCAAGUAGCUUCAUUUCAGUCCACUGCGUCUUGUCGCUUCGAUCUACUCCACUGCACUUCAGAAAGAUAUGACUUGUAGCUUCAAUCCACUCUACUGUACUUCAGAAAGGUUUGACUUGUAGCUUCAAUCUUCUUCGCAGCAACUUCAGGGGGAUAAUGUUUGACAUGAUGAGAUCCGCUAUCUACAGUCUACUCCACUAAAACUUUAGGGAGAUAAGACUUGUUAUGGUAGAUUUAGUCUGACCUACUGCAACUUCAGAGGUAUAGGAUUAGCAGCUUCAGUCUACUCCACUGCAACUUCAGGGAGAUAAGGUUUGCUACUUCAACCUGCUCUACUGCAACUUUAAAGAGAUAAGGUUUGAUAUGAUCUGUUCUACUGUAACUUCAUAGAGAUGAGAUUAGUUAUGGUAGAUUUAAUCUGUUCCACUGCAACUUCAGGAAAAAAAGAUUUGCUAUCUUUAAUCUGCUCUACUGCAACUUCAGGGAGAUAGAUCCAUCAUUUUAACCCGCUCCACUGCUCUACUGCAACUUCAAGGAGGUAGGAUUAGUAACUUCAAUCUGCUCCACUGCAACUUCAGAGAGAUAAGACUUAGUACGAUCAAUCUGCCCCACUGCAACUUCAGGAGGAUAAGAUUUGCUAUUUCAACCUGCUCUACUGCAACUUCAGAGAGAUAAAGUUUGAUAUGAUCUGCUCUACUACAACUUCAGAGAGAUGAGAUCUGUGGCUCUUCAAGGAAACAUUUGCUAUCUUCAGUCUGCUACACUGCAACCUCAGUGAGAUAAGACUUGUAUCUUCAAUAUGUCCCACUGCAACUUCAGGGGGAUAAGGUUUGACAUCCUCAGUCUGCUCCACUGCAACUUUAGGGAGAUAAGACUUGUAUCUUCAACCUGCCCCACUGCAACUUCAAGGGGAUAAGGUUUGUUAUCCUUAGUCUGCUCCACUACUGCUUAGGGAGACAGGAUCUGCAAUCUCCGAUCUACUUCGCUGCCAAUACAGGAAGACAAGAUCUGUUAUCUUUGACCUACUUCACUGCCAAUACAGGAAGACAAGAUCUGUCAUCUUCGAUCUACUUCGCUGCCAAUACAGGAAGACAAGAUCUGCUAUCUUCAGUCUACUUCGCUACCAAUACAGGAAGACAAGACCUGCUAUCUUCAAUCUACUUCGCUGCCGAUACAGGAAGACAAUAUCUGCUAUCUUCAGUCUACUUCGCUGCCAAUACAGGAAGACAAAACAUGCUAUCUUUGAUCUACUUUGCUGCCAAUAUAGGAAAACAAGAUCUACUAUCUUCAGUCUACUUCGCUGCCAAUACAGGAGGACAAGACCUGCUAUCUUUUAUCUACUUUGCUACCGAUACAGGAAGACAAAAUCUGCUAUCUUCAGUCUACUUCGCUGCCAAUACAGGAAGACAAGACCUGCUAUCUUCACUGAUCUGUUCUCUAGGGAACAUGACCUUUUUAAUCUAUUUUAUGAAUCUAAUUAUGCCUGGUGAUUAGGAUGACAUGAUCAAAAUGAAUCAAGUGCUCCUAACUAGACGUAUAUGAAUGAUGUUUGCAUGAAUGCAGAAUGUCAUUUUUCCAAUAAUGAUCUCUCUUUAAUGCUUAAGUUGUCGUUGCUCGAAGUUUAUUAAGGUUUUAUCACUGACGCGCUACAACGCCUUCUUACUCGACUGGCAUAGCUAAAGAAACACUUAAUCAGAUUUCCCCCACUGUGAACGUUAAUGUUCUAUCCACUGGGACGCAAAAUUUGUACCGUCAUUCUCCCAUUGUAACCCAAGAGUAGAAAAAUAUGGCAUUUUCUCAAUCCUCUCCUAUCACAAUUAAAGGAUAUAGAAUGUGAAGCUCUUUGGUCUUUUGUCUCGUUCCCAGGGUGUCAUACCAAAUGCUCAUGCACCAAUGAAGAAGUUUCUUCCCACCUCCCUUUUCACCAACCUUAGUUUUUCUCUAGGUGAAAACUGAAAAGUAGCAAUGGAAAAGACAACAAAGAUGGCACAGGGUAUAAUAAUGGGUUUCGGUCCGAGUUCAACAAUUUGGGGUUCAUUUUAAAAGUAACCUAAAUUUUUUAUUAAUUAUGAAAAUGAUUCAACUUAAAAAUCAUGUAUGUAAAUGACCUGAUUUCUUUGGUGUCACCAUUUUCAAUUCAUUCUCUAAUAUAUUUGAAUUUAGAUAAACUUGAAAAAAAAAUUUGAGGGAUAUAUUUGGGUAAUUUAAAUAAGAAUUAUAUAUAUAUUUAACAAUUUCAUUAUAGAUUCUGAUCAUAUCUGCUUUUUUUGACACAAUGCUUAGAACUAUUCACAAUCCCUCCCCAACCCAUAAAUAGGAGGAUAAUGCGCUUCAGCGCACUCGAACUCAUGCCCUCUUGCAUUGGCAACAAUGCCCAUGCCAAUCGAGUUAUAACUUAAUCGAUAAUUUUAUAUAGAUUUUUAAGUUUAUUGUUUAAAAAAAACUAAAAAAAUGGAAUGGUUUAUUUUUGUUAUUCUUAUAUUUUCUAAGAGCUUUUUAAAUUUAAUUUUAAAAGUAGACAGAUCUAACAUGCAAAUAGACCAAAAAUUGAAAAGCAUUUAAUUUGGUGUCAUAUUGUGAGGGCAAACUUUUUUCCAGUCAAUCUAAAAAAAGUAAUUGCUUCAUUAGGUCUCUAAAUAUUUUAUAUAAUAACACUUCAGUUCGGUACCGUAAAUUUUUCAAGCGGCACCACAAAAACUUAUUUUUUUUUAAAUGUAAUCAUUGGCCAGCAGUGGCACCAAUAUUAGGUCAUUUACAAACAUGAUUUUUAAGUUAAGUCAUUUUCGUAAUUAAUUAAAACAUUUAGGUUACUUUUAAAAAAAGCCAACUAUUUGCAAUCUAAAUGGGUGUGAAAGGAGGCCAACCCCUCAUUUCUUGGUUCUCCCUAAACCUGUUCAUGGGUCGGGCCACCUGUCCCGGCCUGAAGGCCUGCUCAAAAUGUGAGAGAGUUUGGGCAAAAAUAUAGGCCCUGAAAAUGAGCUUGGACAAAAAAUAAGGCCCGUUUAAAAAAUAGGCCGGGCCUCGGAUAAGGCAUUUUUUGCCCGGGUCCAGCCCGAAUUCACUAAAGGACAAAAAUUUUUUUUUUUUGUUUUUAAUAUUAUUUUCUUAUUGUUUUCUCCCUAUUUUGCUACCAUUUUACUAUUAUGUUGCUACUAUUUUGUUAUUAUUGUUUGGAUAUUGUAUAAACUUAUUUUAUUGUUAAUUUUGUUAUUAUUUUAAAGACAUUUGUUAAUUUUGUUAUUAUUUUAGAGGUAUUUGCUUGUUAAGUUCAUCUAUCUUUGCAUUAUUUAAGUAUACAUAUUUUUUAAAUUUUAUUUUUAAUUUGUUGGGAAAUAUUUAUUUUGAUAUUUUUAGUAUUUUGAUGUAUUAUAUAUAUUUUAAAAUUAUAUAAAAAAUAAUAUAAAAAUUAAUAUGGCGGGUCGGGUUGGGCUCGGGUUUUAACAUUUUUAUCCGGGUCGGACUUGGACAAAAUUUAGACCCAUUUUUCGAGCUAUGACGGGCCCAAGCCUAACAAACAGGCCUAAAUUUUUAGUUGAGCCUGACCCGAACCUGGCCCAGCCCAUGCACACCUCUAGUUUUCCCUUCUCAGCUUCUUCUUCAGCUUCCUCUUUAGUCCCCAUUUCACGUCACUACAUGGUCUCAAAUUCCAUGGACCCAUCACUGUAGCCUCUUCUAUGCUCCCAAAUUUCUUUGGGUUUGCAAUCCGUUUGUUGUUUAUAAUGCAAUUCUAAUGUCUAUGUAUUAUUAUUUAUGUGUUUAUACUUUAAUUUUAUUUAUAUAUUUUAAAAAAAAUUAUAUUUCUUCUUUUAUAUUUUUUAGAAUUUAAAAAAAGCAUUUUGAAUUUUUUUAAUAAUUUUUUUAUAUAAAAUCAAGACUAAAUUGAUAAAAAAUAUAAAUGUUAAAAAUUAAAUUUAUUAUUAUACUAAUUAAAAAGUGUCACAUCAAUAUUUUAUUAAUCACUCGAGUGGUAAAACAAUCAAACUCGAAAAUAUUAGUGACCAAAUUAUAACUUUUUUUAAUUAAGUAACAAAAACGAAAACUUAAACAUAAUCAAAUGACUACUAUAAUCGAGUUUACCUAUACCCAAAAACACAAUGGCAUCUAUCAUGCAUGCUUACCAUUAUUGUAUCAAUUAGCAUCUAGUUUUUAUUUUAGCAAUAUCAUUUCAAAUUUAUCAAUAUUUUAUAUAUUUAUGUUCUAAUUUAUUAAUAAAACUAUAUUAAUACACAUGUAAAUAUAUCUCCAUUACAAAUAUAAAAAAAAUAUAAUAUUUUUUCAAUGUUUAUAUACAAGUUUUUAAAUUAUUAAGUUAAAUGACUUAAUUUAAAGAUAAGAUUUUAUCAUUUGAGUAAUUAAAAAUUAUUAAGACAUAAUAAAUAAUAAAUAAUAAAUAUUGAUUUAAAAUAUUAAUUUUUUUUAACAAUCUCAUUAUAGAUUAUAAGUUCUGAUUAUAUCUGCCGCUCUUUUUAACACAAUACCUAAAACUACCUAUAGCCCAUCCUCAACUCAUAAAUAGGAGGAUAAUGUGUUUCAGCACACUCGAACUCACAUUCUCUUUUAUUGACAACAAUAUUCAUAUAAAUUGAGUUAAGGUUCAAUCGGCUAAAAUAUUAAAUUUCUGUCCCAUCAAUUCUGGUCGAUACAUAGCGGUAAAGUCAGUAUCUAUUAAAAAGCUACAUAAUUUUAGAUUUAAUGGCUAUUAGAUUGAAACUAAAAAUUAUUAAAUUAAAAAAUAGGAACUAAAUCUAUACUUUACAUAUAUCACAAUACUAAUAACAAAAUUUAACCUAAAACAUUUACACCAUAAAUGAAAUUUCGAUGUUCAAAAAAUACAAACCAAAAUCGAUCAAAUUGAAGUGCAUGACUGGAUGCUAAAUUCAUAGCUAAUAUAAAGUAAAAGUACUAAUAACAAAAUUUGAUACCCUAAGCUCUUGUACAAACUUGGUAAACUAAUUUGGGCCAAGUAAAAGAUUGUUCAAUAGAAUCAAAAUCUCAAAAUAUGAAAACAGAGUCAACUGCAAAAAAUCAAGUUUAGAUAUUAUUCAAGUUUUUCAAAGGAAACAGAUAAUUUUCAUACAACAAUACUCAAAAUCUUAGAAUCACAGCAUCAUAUUUGUAACAUUUGCAGUAACUAAACUCUACCCAUCAAAACAUCUCCAUUUUUAGACCAUUCCUUUAAACAUCCUAUCCCAGUAAAUUAUUGAUUACCAAUGGAGUACCACAUAACUUUGGGGGGGGGGGAUUUUCCCAUCAUAAAACCCUAAAAAGUAAUCUCCUUGAAGCCGCCUGCUUGCUGGUUUUUUCAUGGACUCCAGAAUCGGAUUCAUCAGUAAACCACCCCACAGAUUUCUGGGCCUCUAGCAUAAUCUGUGAUAUACCUGCAAAAUAAAACAAAGUCAGCAAUCAAAUGCGUGGAUUAAAAUCUUCAAAAUUAAGAAAUAAGAAAAAAAGAAGGGUUCUUUGACAUGAUAUCAGAAACCGAUGCAAGAUUUAGAGAAAGAACCUUGUUGAACAGUUUGCUUGUUGUGGCGGAUGUCGUGGAUGGUGGCAGAGAUUUUCCAAUAAAGAGGACGGCCGACGUAGAAGAGGGCCAAGAGGAGGAGCAGCGCUAUUACUAUGCGGAAGGUGAUCCUGGAUGUUGAGGAAGCCAUUGAUUGAUUGUUUAUUGAAUAGCAAAGGGAGAUUUGAGAAGAUUUAUUUGAUAUUGAGAAAGUCGAGCGAGCCUUGCAAAUCCACAAAUACCAAAGCCCCUUCGUAAAGUUGAAGUGACGUAUAUCAUGGAUCCAAGAACGACACUAUCUAUAAUCUAUUAUAUAAAAUGGAUCUAAUUUAAAAUUAAACUAAUUUUAUGUAUUUUUUUAUUUUUUAUCUGUUAAAUAUUUUAAUAAUUAUGUAAUUUUUUAAGGGAAAAGAUUACGUGAAUAAUAACAUUAUAUAUCAUCAUUAAAUAAAUAAUAACAAUGAAAAAAUUAUAAAUAAAUACUAAUAACUAUAUGUAAACAUAAUUAUGGGUUGGAGCUGGUGGAACAGAGUCUAAAAUUACCUUUGUGACUCUGUGUUGGAUGUUGUGAAAAAAUAGAAAAAAUUAUGUGUUCCAACAAGUGAUUGGAAAAGUGAAGAUAUGAUAAGAAAAGUCGAGUGUUAUGCUAAACAUAUAAUUGAAGCAAAUCUAAAGAACAAUAAAUCCAAAGAUUCCAAAGCUAAGAUGGAGAGGUGGUGUCCACCCAACCAUGGAUGGAUCAAAAUCAACACCGAUGGAGUGGUUAGUAGGGAUGGAAACUGGUCGGCAAUUGGGGGAGUUUUACGCGUCUCAUUUGGAAAUUGGAUUGAAGGUUUUCAAAGGUUUGAUGGGAGGGGUUCGACCGUGGUUAUUGAAUCUACAUGGACUAGAAAAAACUAAAAAAAAAAAAGGAUACACUAAGGUGAUUAUUGAAUCUGAUUGCAUGAUAGUUGUGGAUAUGAUUAAAGAAUGCUCUGAAAGUACACAUUCAAUGACUCUUAUUAGGAAAACCAAUGAAGUGUCACGUCAAGUUCUCACAUCAAGUUCUAACAGUUAAGUUCCAGUUCGUGAAUAGGGAAAUGAAUAAGGUAGCUGAUUGGCUAGCCAAAUCAUGUUCUUUUAAUAAUGUUAACUUAGUUUAUGUUGAUAUCCCUACACUUUUCGGUUGGAAAAUUACUUAUAGAAGAUAAAUAAGGUGAUAUACAUGUAUGAAUAAUUUGCUUUAAGGCAAUGUGUAGCCUUCUUUUAUUUAUAAAAAAAACAUAAUUAAAUAAUAAAUGUUAAAAUCUUAAACCCCAAACUCAAGGCUAAACUUUUAAACCUAAUAUCCUAAAUACAAGAGUUAUUAAUAUUUAUAUUUAAAUAAAAUUAUUAGUACUUAUUUACAAGUCUUCCAUUUUUUAUUUAAUAAACUUAUAUACCUACUGUGCAUCAAAUAUUUUUCUAUUUUUAAAUUAGUUUAAAAUCUUCAAAUAUAAAUUCAGAAUUUUGUUUUUAUUAUUACCUAACCUAUUUAUUAAACCUUUUAUUGAGUUGGUGUCACCCACCAACCGAGUCCUAACUUAGUUACAGAAUUACCAAAAAACUUAUUAUUUGCAAAAGUAAAUUAUAUGAUUAUAUGAAUAUUUUUGCCUUUUUAUAUUUUUAUAAAUCAAUAAAAAAUUUAUCUACAAUGAGAUUUAAACGAGGGACACCAUGCAUAUAAAACAUUUUCCUUUACCAUUGAACCUUUAGCAAUUUUUGGUUUUAUAUGAAACUUUGAUAAAUAUAUUUGUGAUCUAAAUAACUUAUUUUUGCAUGCAUACAUGUAUAAUAAGAUUCUAAUUUUUUUUCGUUUUAAUAUCAUACAUAUUUCAUGUGUUAGUAUUGAUUAGUUUCAAAUCAUACUUUUCAUUAAUUAUUAUAUGUUAUUUUUAAACACACAUUAAUAUUCUAAAUAUGUGAUUUCCACACUUAUAUGAUAUGUAUGUGAUAAGAUUUCUAAAUCUCUCUAAAAAUUUUCUCAGAUAAUUUUUUCUUUACAACUUUCUCUUGAAUUCAAGUGCGUGUAAAAUUGACUCAUGGCUCUCUUUAUAUAGGGAAAGUUUAGAGAGUUCAAUUAUAAUUAAACUUAAUCACUUCAAUAUUAAAUUAAUAUAAUACUUAUCAAGAUAAAUAUUAGAUUAAUAUUAAAUCUAUUAAAUCAAUAGAAUAUUUAUCUGUAAGAUAAAUAUUAAAAUAAAUUUAAUAUUAAGAUAAUUAUUUUAAUAUUAAAUUAACAAAAUACUAUCAAGAUAAGUAUUAAAUUAAAUUAAAUAUUAAAUCUAUUAAAAUAAUAUUAUUUUUUGGAAUAGUUAUCUGAAAUCAAAUUAUCCGAUAAAGUCCCAAUAGGAGUAUGAUUCCUUCACUGCUCAACCGCAAAAGGACCACCCAUCGGCCACCGGAAUGUCGUUGUCGCCUUCGCCGACACCGUCGUGUCUGGUGGUGCAAUCGUAGGUGCGACACCCUCACAACAACCUGAGCCGGUUCGAUUCGAUCCAGCCACUAGUUGGAUCGUCGGUUCGGUUCCACAUACCAGACCUAAUUUAACACAUUUUGGGUCUUGGUCUCGGUUUUUUAUUCUCGGGCUCAAUUUUUUAUCUCAUUUUUAAUUUUCAAAUUCAAUUAUCCAUUGGGCUAAUUGUCUAACUUGAAAUUAAUUUUUGAAAAUAUCAUAUUAAUUUUAAUUAAUUUUAUUAAUUUAAUUUAUUUGAUAAAAAUUAAUUUUCUCAAAAAUCACUAAGAUUUUUCAAAUUAAUUUUUCAAGAAAAUUCUUUAAUCAAAAUUUCUAGUUGAAAAUUCUCACGACUACCUAAUUUAAUUCCACAUCGAAUAAAUUGACUCAAUUAAAUUAUUUUCAAAGUCAUUGAAUUUCCUUCUAAUUCAAAUACAGUCCGAUUGAGUUUUUGUUGAGCUAGUGGAGGGACCAAUCAAACAUAUACAAUUAGGCUUUAGUAAUUGCAAUUAUAUUCAGAAUUAUUGUUUCGAUAAUUCACAAUUUACUUAAUCAUGGAAUCAGUCCACAAGAAGUACCAUGACUGAAAACUCCUUAUUAUAUACUCUUUAUGAAAGCAAUUCAUCCAACUGCUUUGUCCAAUGACCUCGUCAUGUGUGUGUUACUCUCAUAUGAUAUCAUUGAUUCCUUUGAGUUAAAUUCGUUCACUCAAUACAAUCAUGUUUUACCUCAUUGUCACCAUUGUGUCUUUUUAAUGAUUAAUAUGAUCACUGUCAACAAACGACUGUAAUAAAUUGCUUGUUUGAGAACAAGCAACCCGUGGCGACAUUCCAUAUUUAUCAAUCCACACAAUGUCAAUGAAAGGAUAUCGUUAACUCUUUAAUCGAGCUAUGAAUUUCAUUGUUGCUAAUAAAACCAUGUCAUACACAAGUCAUGUACUCAACAUACCGACUAUGGACUCAAUCAUCUUCAGAGCAUAAGCCUCCACUUAUAUCAAAGCACAUGAGUUACAUACGCAUGGUCACUGACUAACUUAAGAUUUAGGUAAAUCACACAAUAAACGUCACAAGUGAAUUAAUUCACAAACAGAUUCAUAAUUAAUUCAUCUUGGAUCUAGUCCAAUGUAUCAUUCUUCCAAUGAAUUUAUCUAUGUUUCUACUCGUGGAGUCAACUGGUCUGAUAGUCAAGACUAGCCUUCUCCCUAUUUGAAAUUGUAGAUGACAUAAUAAUCCUUCUAAGUAUUUGAAUCUAAUGUUCACUUUGAUUCUUUUACAGAAUUAUGGACUCGUUUAGAUUAUCUGCUGAAGUAAAUUGUUUUUCUUGCAAUGCAAACGUUCUUACAGUGCCACUUAUCAUCAGUUUGAACUUAGACAAUCAAUGAGCUAAAAUUUGCUUGUCACAAUUUCGUUAUGCAAUAUGAAAGACAGAAACACAAAAUGCAUAAUAGUGAAAUGUGAAAUUAAAUUUAUUUAUUUAUUCAUCGUUCAAAUGCAUAGAAAACAAUUACAUAUAUACUACAAUAUUGACACAUUUCCAAACAUAAAGGGCCACUAUUACCGUUUUACAUGGAUUGACAUUAACUUUGUUGUAAUAAUCUUAUGAUAUAUGAUUUGCCAUUGACUUAGGUUAACGCUUAGCAAUCAAUCUUUCUUUACUUUCUUGGUUAUUAAAGGGUAACAUAUUUCAAAUUAUUUCCCUUACUAAUAAACAACCCUAUAACUUUGCGCUUCAAAUUUAACUUACCAACAUCAUUAAGAUCGAGAGAGACCUAGUUCUAACCAACAAACUCACCUUAGCAAGGUUUAUUUAAGUUAUAUCACAUGCCUACACAACAUAGAAUGCAUAUCUUUGUCAUACUUACCUGUGUUGUUCAUCACUAGUAUUAGAAUAAAUUGACAAUUACGAAUUUAAUAAUUCUAAUUGACAAGGCAAAUAUUCUAAGCUGUGAAUACAAAUUGAAUAUUCAACAAACCUGAAUAUUUGUAAUUUAAUAAAAAAAUGCAAAUACUAAAGAACAAAAAAAAAAGACAAAGAAUAAUGUAACGCCCUAAAAUUUUUAAUUCUUGUUUUUGUGUUUAUGUGACAUAAGUACUUGUCUACUUCAAUGGUUAAGUGCUCUGGGUGUGUGUGGGAGGUUUUAAGUUCAAGCCAUGACUUGGGCAAAUUUUAGUAUUUUUAUAAAUAAAGCCUUAAACUGGCCUAAAGGGCUUAAGUUUAAUAGUUGGUAAUCAAAUAACAGAAUGGGCAUGUUGGUCUAGUGGUUAAGUGGAGUGUUUGAUUGUAUGAGGUCUUGAGUUCAAAUCCAUGUUGAAGCGUAAGCGUUAUUUUUGCGCAGUGAUGGACAAGUAUUUCGGCAGAGUGGGAUUCUGGAGUGGUUGUAGGUUAGUAGGAUUAAUGGGAGAAAAGUUAGAGAUAUGGGAUAGCUAUCGAUAUCAUCUAAAUUUCUAUUUUGUUUUUAUUUUUCCCAAAUUUCGGCAUUCUCCUCUUUUCCUCAAUUUUUCUGUCGUCCUAUUCUUCUUUGCUUUGCCAAAUUUUUGCUCCCUAGUCCACUCCCUCUGUUUGAUUUUUCUACUAGCCCACUUUCCGGCCAGCAAUUGUAUACACUCGUUCUGUAAGUAUCUGACUGCCUCUAUUUUAUCGUUUCUUAGCUAGUUCCUAAAAAGGAUUUUUUUUGGCUCUCUUGGUUUAGAAAAAAUCAGAAAUCAGUUGCGGCUUCACAAGCAAAUUGAGCGUUAGGAAUUUUGGUUCUUUGUCAGUAAGUGUUUAGGUUCACCAUCGAUUUUGAUGUAAACGAUUUUCAGUUGUGAGUUUUCGUUAGUGACCUAAAUUAGGCUCUAAUUAUUUAUUUUUAGGUCUUGGAGUGCUUGAGAGCAUAUUUGCAGUGAAACGAUAUCAGGUGUGUACCCGAAACACAAAAAUAAGGGAUUCGGCGAAAAGCCGAAAUUGCUUGUUGUUUGGACAGCAGCAGUAGGCUAACUUUGAAAAAUCACCAUAAAUUGUGAAAAUCAAAUUAGAGGAUGAAAAAAUAUGGGAUUAAAUAUAUUUGAGUCUAGUUUCUUGUAGAAGAAACAAAGUAAGCAAAAUAAUUUCAUAUUAUGAGAUAUUUGAAUUUUAGUGAGACAGGAUUAGAAUGAUUUUGGAAUCCCCUGUCCUGAAUUUGGAAAAUUAUUAAAAAUUUUAUAAAAAUAAUUAUGGGUUAGAAUUUAUAUGUUUAAAAUCCUGAAUAGGUUUAUUUUCAAGAGAAACAAACGGGAACAUCAUCCAAAUUCUGUAAGAGAAGAUAAUUAAUUUUUAGUGCAGAAAGGUUGAAACUGUCAGACAGCAGAGAAGGGGAAAUUUUAAAGAAUAAACUGUACUUAUUGGCUAAACCAAAAAUUCUAAAAAUUUUAUGAUAAGAAUAUAUGUGAGUCUAGUUUCAGAUAAAUUUUUCGGAUCUUAAUUCAGAAUUCUGUAGCUUAAGAUACAAAUAAUUUAGUAAUAGUGACUCAAGUAGACAACUUUGAAGGAUCAUAUAAGUAAAUAGUGGAAACACAUAUGAAUAAUUAACUAGCACAUGUUAUAUUAAAAUGGAUCACAAGGCCAAGGCCAAUUUGGGUCAUGUGGGUCACACAGGCGUGUGGGCCCACACGGGCGAACAUCAUGGGCUUGUAGGCUCAUUUUCACUGUUUAAUUGAUAAGGUUGCAUGGGUCGCCCAAGUCGACUGUGAACCUACUGUAGGGUCGGUAAGUUUACCUAGACCCCUGAUUGACUGAAAUGACUGUAUGACUGAUAUGAUUAAGCCUAAUGAUGUCCCAUUAAUUUGAUACUGUAUGCCCUGUUUACAUGCAUGAUAUUAUGUUAUAGCAUGUCAUUCUGUAUAUUGCAUUACAUUGGGUUGGGGGAUUAUAAUGUUUAGAGGAAGUGUACUGAAAGGUCUCGAGCCUAAUUUACUGGCAGCUCAGCUGCAAACUACUGUCUAGUGCCGCAUUCGGAAUGUAGGGAUAGGUGGGUUGAUUAUAUCCCCACAUAGAGUGUAAGGUUGGACGGAGAUGGUGUGUAGAGGCUGGAUGGGUAGGAUUUUUGUGACCGCAUAUCUGUUACUGCUACUUAUACUGUGAUGGGCUAAAGCUCUACUGCAUGACUGUUUAUGUACUGAGAUGGGCUAAGGCCCAAACUGGACUGAUACUGACACUGAAAAGGGCUUAAGCCCAAACUGUGAUUAUCUAUUUAUUGUAUGUUCAUUUGUAUGGGGAUUACACACUGAGUUUACGUAAACUCACUUCUUCUGUUUAAUUUGUACAGGUAAUCCCCAAAUUUAGGCAGAUCAGUGCGGCGGAGGACUCAGUGGUGGCCACACGGCUUCUUUUACACCGUUUAUUACCUAUUUAUGAUUUUACUUUUAUUUGGGAGUAUUUUGCUGUAAUUAUGGCCUUUACGAAUUUUGGUUUAAAAUUUGGAUUUUAUACGGUUUUAUGAUUUAAAUCUGCUAGUGUUAGGUAAAACUCGGGUUUUCAAAUGAAACUAAUGUUUUAUCAAAAAUACCACAAAUAAGCAAACUGUUUAAAAGCUUCCACAAUAAAAAUAAAAAUAAAAACGUUUUGAAAUUGAAUAACGAUUUGUAAAUGAAUAAUGUUUUGAAAACGAACGACAUGAUUUGAAGUUAAUAUAAGUUAAUAAAAAAUGGUUAAAUAGAAAAGAGGAUUUAGCGACGACAUAUUUUUCGAAAAGCACUACCAUGUGACGUCGUCAGAUUCAACCAUAACGUCUAGACCAGGUUUGGGGUGUUACAAAUAAUUAAAUCCCACAAAUUUUGCGAAUCAAACUUUAAAAAUCUCUUUGAAUAGAAAAAUAAGUUUAGAAAUUCAUGGAGAAAAUAAAACGCAAAAUUAAAAUAAAAUUAAGGUGGCUAUGUCUAGGUAUUUUAACUUAAUAAUGUCUAUUUAUAAGGUAAAAAGUUAAAAAUGUCUAUUUAUAAGGUAAAAAUAAUAUAUUGGAAAAAAUACAAAAAUCCUUUAAUUAAAUAUUGCAGAUUUUUUUUAUAGGUUUCUUUGCAAAAUUUGCAUCAAAUUUUCGGUCCAUUUUUUGGACACCUUCUUGACAUUUUUGGACUUAAUCCGUGAAAUAAAUUUAUCUAGUUCUUUCAAUUUCCUUUGAAUUGGUAUAUUAUGAGCCCAAAAUGAUGUUCUAUAACUUAAGUUAUGACCAAAAUAUUGAAACUAUAUUGUGUUGAAAGUUCAAUACGCAAAAACUUGUAAAAAAUAAAAGCUGUUUUUUCUCCCAUUAUUCCCUAAAUACAUAAUAACUAUAAUUAAGUAUAGAUAAUAUAAUUAAGAACAUAAAUAACAUAAUUUAAGAGAAGAAACAUUAAAACAAUAAGAAAAUUAUGCACUUAUCAAUAUAAAAUAUAUAUGUUCAAAGUAGGCCCAACCCACACGGGCCAUGCCUACUUUCAACAAGAUAUUUUUAAAUUUGGGAUAAUUUUGAUCACCAAAAUUUACGAAAAACAAAAUAAGUUAAAUGCUCAAUUUGUAUUAGAUAUUAUAAUUAUUUAAGUUUCUUUUUACCUAAUUGAUAUUUAAAUACUAUUUUCCAUUAGUUUAUCAACAUAAACUAAAAAUGCUACUAAUUUUAUCAUUAAAAAUUAUAAAUCCUAUAAAAGAAAUCAAAUUUUAAAAAAUGAAAAACUUUGGGGACCAAACACAAAUUUGUCUUCUUUUAAACACUAAUUAUAAUUUUAAAAUAAAAAAUUUCAAAACUCAAAGGGGCCUAAAAGAAAUUUUACAAAAUUUAGGGGGCCGGGGCCCUAUAACCCCACUGAAUUUACCUCUGAUAAAAUAUUUGUUAAGUUCAGGUACCAAAGUGGACAAAAAAAAGUACAAGUACCAAAAUGAGCGUAGUUGCCAAGUUCAAUAACAAAAAAUUAUAAUAUCCCAUUUAGAAAAUUAUAAAAAGUAUAGAAAAACUAUAAAAGAAAUUAUUUAAAACUAGUAAAGUUUUUAAUUAUUUACUUCUUGACUAAAUUAUCUAUAAUAUAUAUAUAUAAGCACGAGUUUUAAAAAAAACUUUUGAAUUAAAAAGAAUAUCUUUUAUUUUCCUUCAUAUUACUAUAUUGACAUUUAAAAAUAAUUACAAUAUUUAAUUUAGAAUUAUUAAUUUAAAAUUUUAGAAUUAUAAUUAUAAUUUAAUUAUACAUUUAAAAAUAAUUAUAAUUUAAUUGAAGUUUUGAUAAUUACAUAUUUAAAAAUAAUUAGAAUUGUAAUGGCCCAAAUUUACCCGGCUCAAAUUAGAAAUAAAUAAACAAAAAAUAUAAACCAAUAAAAAAUAGUCCAUUUUAAAUUUCCAUUUACACUAGGCUCAAUAUGGCCCAAACUAAACAUUAGCCCAAUAAAAUCUAACCCAAAAUACAGUCCUAAACCUGGUUAUAACCCAAACCUAAUCUGACCCAAUACGACAAACUCGAUUCCAGCCCAAUAGCCAAAACCAGCCCAGAUUUUUUUUUUUACUUUUGCAGAAACCCUAAACAGUUUCAGAAAUCACAAGCGCCGCAGUAAUGGGAUCCAGGCUUCGCGCGUGCAUUGCCAACGCAAGCACUCAUUUCCUCCAUGCGCGUCCUUCUCCCAGCUAGCCGUACCUGCACACAAACGAACAGCAGAGAGCAAAGAAACAAAAGAGGACGCAGCAAAAAAAGGGAGGAUAACAGGAUAGAUUUUGAUUUCUUUUUCUUUUUUCUUCUUUUUCGGUUAUUUAGGCUAUAUAAAAGCCAAACAGAAAUUUGUAAAGGGGGGAUCCACGAAUAUUGUAUAAAAAAAAUCAGAAAGCAAUAAGAAAAAUCAAAAGUUCGGAAAUGUGAUUUCCAGUUUUGCUUUAAAACCUUUUUCUUUUUUCGUUUCUUUGAUGGAUGCUACUGUUGUACGCGAAAGAAAAUAAAAAAUGGGUGAAGUCUUACCUGCGCGAGCGCUUCAUCGGAGCCUGGUUCAUUCCGUCAGAAUCGGAAUCGGAAAAGGCACGAGUUUGCGCGGCAGCUGAAAUGGUGAGGAACUAGGUUUUAGUUUGAGGGGAGUGAAAUGUUAGACUUUAGGGUUUUCUGAGGUUAUUUAAGCAUGAUAAUACGACGCCGUUUAGAGGCGUGCGACCCGCACGGUGAUCCGACCCGGGGAAGGAUCCGCGUGUUUUGGCCUCUGUGGGGAGAUUUGUGCAGAUGGUCCCCCCCUUUUGGUUGCGUGUUCGAAUCGCUCCUUUGCUUUUUCUAAUUUUCGCCCUUUAAUUUGAUUUUUGUUUCAUUGUAGUCCAGUUCAAACACUGCGUUUUGGAAGGCUGGGAAUAUUUCCAGAUUAACCUUCCAUGUUAUUCGCGCAUUGCACACUGGCCCUUAUUUUGUUUAUUUAUGUUUUUCCCGAUUAAUUUCGUUUUAGUUGCAAUUUAAUCCUUUUCGUGUUAUCUGCUUCUUUUUAUUUGGUUUAAUAUUUCCAUUAUUAUUAUUAUUAUUAUUAUUAUUAUUAAUUUUUUACUUAAUCUUAUUAUAUAGAUCCUGUUAUUUUAUUAUAUGAUAUUAUUUUAUGUUUUUAUGCAUUUUUACUUAUUUUUAUGCACAAAUAUUUUAUUCCUUUUAAAUUUACUAUUCUAUCUUACUUACUUUAACUUAUAUAUAUUAUGACUAUAUAUAUUAUUAUUUACAUUAAGAUUUUUUUUACUUAUAAAUCAAAACAUAUAUCAAUUUUAAAAUUUAUUCACCUUUAUUUUCUUACAAUUCUUUUCUUUAGAAUUUACUUAAACAUUUUAUUUUUAGUUCCAUUAUUAAAUUGUUUGAAAUUUUUAUAUUAAUUAUUUUUUAAAAUUUUGUGUAUAUAUAUAUUUUGAAUCCUGAAUUUAUUUUUUUAUUUUAUUUUGUGAAUACAUUUUAUUUCCCUUUUUAGAUUAAUAAUUCUUGAAUGUUAAUGUUGAUAUUUACAUGUGAUGUGAAAUUAUGGUCUUUAUGCGUAUGGUAUUUGUUUAUUGGUAUUCAUUUAUUAUUAGUGUUUAUUAACUUAUAUUGUGGUUUAUGAAUUAUCGCCUCGCGUUGUGCAUUGUUAUUCCAUUGUGCUUUAUUCGUUCAAAAAGUCGUGUUUAAUAUGGUUUAAUAUCAAAACCGAUUUAUUCAAAAAACUUUCAAGAUAAUGCAAAGUUUGGUAUUUGGAAUCUUCGAAAGAAUUGAGCCCUAAUGUAUUGGGUUCCAAUUUUCCUCGUUGAAUCUAAAUAAUCGAAGAUUUUCUUUAAUCAAAACACAUAAAUAAAAGCUCAUUCUCGGGAAUUCGAUACGUCGUGUCCUAAUGUAUUGGACAUGACAUGUUGACUCCUCGAGAUGAGAAUUUUUAAAAUAAUAAUAAAUGCAAUAUUAGAUAUUUAGGAAUUUUGUAAAAUCAAGCCCUAACUUACUAGGUUUUGAUUUUCUCAUUUGACCCAAAUGAUCAGAUAUCCUUCUAAAAAAUGUAUAGGUUUUAAAAGUUAGGAGAUAAACUUAAUUUUGGGGAUUUAAAAUGUUGUACUCUAACUUACUGAGUGUGACAAUUUAUCUCUUUGAAAUAAGUGAGGCUUAUCAUAUAAUUCAUUUUAUUCAAAUUUUCUUUUCAAAUGAUCGUAUUUUAAAAUCUUUUCAAAUUCUCGACACUAAGACAUUAAACAAUCAAUUCGGUACCAAUUUUGGGCGUUACGAGGGUGCUAACCCUUCCUCGUGCGUAACCGACUCCCGAACCUAUUUUCUCAAAAUUCGUAGACCUAAAAUCGUUUUAAGGUGUACCAAUCACACCUCAAUAAAAGAUCGGUGGCGACUCCAAUUUUCGCUUCAUUUUUAAGUCGACCACUAAAUUUUUGUUUUUCAAAAAGGGGUUUCGACAUGAAUUAAAUUACAAUUAUUAAUUAAAAAAGUUAUGUUAAUUUUAAAAUAGAGUUACUACUAACUCUAAGUAUAAAAUAUAGGGAAAACUGUGAUAAUUAUAAUUUACAAUUAUUAGUUAAUUUAUUUUACAUAAAAAAAGUUGUGCUAAUUUUAUUUUAAAAAAGUUUACUUAAAUAUGAUUCUAAGCAUCUUAAUUAUCACUUAAAUAAUAUUAGAUUUAAUUAUGUUAAUUAAUUAUUAUUUUGGAUAAUAUUACUUUGCAUUAAUUACAUAAAGUAAAAUUAUAUUGUAUGCUGAAUAUGUUAAAAAUACUUUAAGUAUUAUUUGAAAAUUUUAUAUUAUAAUAUUUGAAUUGAUAAGUUAUAUUUUUUAUUAUAUUCAAUAAUUCAAAUAAUAAAUAUUAUUUUACAUUAAUUGUUGCAAUUAAAAAUAAAAUGUUUAAAAACUAAUUAAAUAUUAAACGUCUAAAAUCACAUGCAAUACAUUUAACAUUUGAAGCUAGUUAUAAUGUAAAAUUUUAAAGGUUAUAUUUUGCUCAAAGCUAUUGUACAUCUUUUAUAUUUGGAGUUCAAUCUCCGUACUUUUAUUUUCAAGUAUUUAGCCCCUCUACUUUUCAAAUUUAAAAAUUUAGGUCCAUUUGUUAAUACUGUUAAAAUUAUUUUGUGUUAGUGUGACAUUUUGAAAAAAAAAAUAAAACAAGCAUGAUAUCUAUGUAACCAAAAAAUAACAUUGUAAGGAACUUGAAUUUAAUAAAGAAUUUUAACGGGGCUAACAAUUCUUAAAAAUUCACAUCAUCAUUUUAAUUAAAACAAAUUAUUUAGACUAACUAAUAUUAUUAUAAAAGUUGAGGUAUCAAAUUAUGUCAAAAUUAAAGUAUAUGUAUUAAAUCUCAAAUUUGAGCGAAAUGUAGGGAUCAAAUUAAAAUUUAACCAUUUUUUAAAAUGUGUCUUUCAUUUUUUGGUCAAACUAGAGUCAAAGUAGAGUCGAGAUUGUGAUGAUGUGACAUAGGACGUCACGACGACGGAUGACGUCCCAACAAGGAAGCACGGGAUGUCACAACGACAUAAGAAGGCAUACAACAUGACAACCACAUCCUAACGAGAAGGCAUACGACAUGAUAGCGACAUCCUAACGAGAAGGCAUACGACAUGACAGCCACAUCCUAACGAGAAGGCAUACGACGUCACAAUGACGCGACGUGUUUCCCACAUAAAUGAGUUUCUUCUCUUAGUUAAACUCUACUUACUUUUUCCAGUUAAACUCUGAUUUCUCAAAAGAUGUUUUAGUCUAAUUAGAACUCUAAACCUUAGCCUAGAAAAAUUGGCUUUAUUAACCUUAGAAUAACAUCUUCAUCUUCAUAACAUUAAGGUUAAGAUAGAAGAUUAAGAAAAGGCUUUGAGAGAGCUUUAAGGGAAUCUUGUGUUUUAGCCAAAGCUUUAUAUUUUUAGGGUUUAGAGUUUGUUUUUCAUUAUCUCCAUAUUGUACUCUUUGUUUAUUUUCUCAUUUAGUGAAGUUUCCUUUGCUCGUUUUUUAUCCUCUUCAUCGAAGGAGUUUUUUCCACAUAAAUAUUUGUGCCCAAUUUUCUUUGUACAGCCCAAUAUUUUGCCCAAGCCCAAAUAAUCCAGACCCAACUAGCCUAGCCCAAUACACCACAGCCCAAAUCAGAAAAAAAAAUGCCCAAUAAGCCCAAAUCUAACCCUAGCCCAGAAACCCAAAUCAAAAACAAAAAAUUAAAAUUUUCAAACCCUAGGUGCACCGCACCUAGGGUCUUCUCUGCCUUGCUAGUCGCCGCCCUAGUGCCACUGCCACUAUCCCAUCACCUGCCAUCCACCGCCCUACUCCUGCAAACAACAACAGAAUAGGGGGGAAUAGGAUAUAAAAAACUAAACUCUUUCUGUAAUAUGGGGGGCCAAUCUUGAUGUUUGUAAAAAAAAACAGGGGUUUUUUACACGAACAUUAGAGAAAAAUAAAAAGAAAAAAGGUUUUCUCUUCAAUUUUUUUCUAUUCUGUUCUUUUUUUUCUUUUUCUUUAUUGUUCAUAUAUGUACCUUCAUAGAUAUUUAUAUCUUAAAAUUAUAUAUACACAUAUGUUUUUAUUUUGUUUUAUAACUUAAAACUAUAUAUACAUACAUAUAUUCUUUUUAUAUAUUUUAGUCUUAAAAUAUACGCAUACAUCUAUACAUCUUUGUAAUAUAUAUGUACAUAUAUUUUAUAAUUUAUAUAUACAUAUAUUUUUGUAUUAUUUUAUAAUUUUAUAAUGUAUAUAUAAACGCACAUACUUCUAUAAUUUAUUUAUUUACUUCUUUCUUUCUUUCCUUCUUGUAUCUUUGUUUUACUUAAUGUUUAUUGGUAUACUUACGUAUAUCUUUGUUGUUUUGCUUUUUAGAUUUUUUGAUUUUCACGUGCAUAUGUAUACAUAUUUAUACUUUAUUAUUUUUAUAAUUUUGUUCAUGUUCAUUUUGAUUAUUUAUUCAUGUCUUUAUCAUUAUUUUAAUCUAAUUCGUUCAUGUAUUUGUUAUUUUACAUGUCAUUAAUUUGUCCUUUUAUUCAUUCAUUUUAUUACUGCUGCUCGUAUUAUUUUUACUUGCAUCAUCAUAAUUAUUAUUUUGUCAUAUAUAGUUUUUACUCAAAUUCGUAAAAAAGGGCGAAAUUUUAGAAAUAUAAGUAAUAUUCGAUAUUUUGGAUCUUCAAGAGAAUCAAGUCCUAACGUAUUGGGUUCCGACUUUCUUCGUUGAACUUAAAUAAUCGAGAUUACUCUUUUAAUAAUAAAAAGCUCAUUAUCGAGAAUUCGAUACGUCGUGUCCUAACGCAUUGGAUAUGACAUGUCGUUUUCUCGAUAUGAGAAUUUUUCUAAAAAUAGUAAGACAAUAUUUCGCGUUUGGAAAUUCGAGAAAAUGUGCCCUAAUGUGCUGGGUUUCGAUUUCUCGUUUGACCAAAUAGCUAAAUAUCCUCUUAAAUCUUAAUCCAUGUCAUUUAAGGUUUUUUUAGGAUCGUAUUUUAAAUCUCUUUAAAGUUUUCAGUUUUUCGAUACUAAGACAUUAAGUAAUCAACUAGGUACCAAUUUUGGGCGUAUCGAGGGUGCUAAUCCUUCCUCGUGCGUAACCGACUCCCGAACCCGUUUUUCUGAAUUUCGUGGACCAAACUUGUUGUUUUAAUAAAAUCAAACCGUUUAUUAAAAACAACCACUUUUCGAGGUGAUCCAAUCACACCUCAUAAAAAAGGAUUGGUGGCGACUCCCAUUUCAUUUUUCAAAACCCAAGUCGACCCUGUUUUUUAUCAAAAAAAUGGUGUCAACAUUCUCUAUUCCUUCUUUCUCGUUGUUUAUAUGGGUCGAUCCUCAACAAAUUAGUAUUAGAGCUUGGUUAGGAUUUAGAAAUCAACUCGUUUAUAGAUGACGACAAUGAGAUUUGAUAUCGAAGAGUUUGAUGGGAUCACAAAUUUCAGUUUAUGGCUAGUUCAGAUGACUAUAAUACUAGUUCAAAGUGGCUUGAAAAACGUCAUUACAAGGCAAAAUCCCACGGAUUCAGAUCAGUUAAAAUGGGAUGAGCUUGAUGAGAAGGCUCUGUCUGUAAUUCAAUUUUUCCUUACAAAAAAUAUGUUAUAGGAGGUGCUUAUGGAGAAAACGACAUUCGCCUUAUGGAGAAAGUUAAAACCCUUUACAUGACAAAGUCUCUGGGUAAUCCGUUGGUGUUAAAAAACGCCUAUUUUCGUAUCGCCGAAGGUGCGUCUAUUAGGGCUCACAUUAGUGAUUUUGUUUCUCUCUUAAAUGAUCUGAAGAAUAUCAAGGCUAAUAUAGAUGAUGAAGAUCAGGCUAUGCUAUUAUUAUGCUCUUUGCCCUCUUCAUAUUAGUCUUUUAGGGAAACUCUGAUUUAUGGUAGAGAUAAACUCUUGUACAAGGACGUGAAGGGAAACUUGUUGAGCGAAGACAAACUCGACAAUGAGCUAGGUUCAAAUAGCAAGUCAGAUGGGCGAGCCUCAGUUUUGGUUGCGAGAAAUAAGAUUGAAUCGAAGUUGAGGAAUCGAGACAAGACAUGUGGCUACUGCAAGAAGUUAGGUCACAUUAAGGGAAAGUGUUAUAAGCUGUAAAAUAAGAAUAUGAAGGCUUUUGGGAUAAACAAGAGAGCGGUAGUCGAUGCUAGUUUGGCCGAGAAUAAGGGUGAUGACUGGUUGCUGGUGUCUACGAUCAAAAGGUCUAACCUUACGUCCGAGUGAAUCCUAAAUUCAAGGUCUUCUUACCAUAUAUGUCCCAACAAAGGUUGGUUCUCCACAUAUAGUUUAGCUAAAGGUGGAGUUGUGCUCAUGGGGAAUAAUUCACCUUGUAAGAUAAUUAAUAUUGGUACUGUUCAGAUCAGGAUGCACGAUGAGAUUGUCAAUACACUAUUAGGUGUUAGACAUGUGUCUGAUUUUUAAAAAAAAACCUCAUCUCCCUGGGUAAGUUAAACUCGAACAAUUGUAGAAUCACCAUUGAGUCAAGUAGCAUUAAAGUAUCUCGUGGAUGUAAAACCCCAAACCCAACCUAGACAUUAUGGCCGAAUCUGGGAGUGUCAAAAAGAAGGAUUUUGAAAAUAGUGUUAUUUCGAUAAAGCUUUGUAUAGUUGUUCGAUAAAUCAUCCAAGUUUUAUAACCCAUAUUCGUUUAUAACUAUUACUGAAAGCGUUAUUUAAUUAAUUUAUUUUCCAAAACAUAAUUUACAACGGAAGUCUUAGAAACCGUUAUAUUUUGAAAAUCCAGUUCGUAUUUUCAAAAAGCCUUCGUUUUCGUAAAAACCAUGUUUUUAGUCAACCAUCGCAAAUAAAGAGUCAAAAUGAAGAUCCAAAUCCAAAAUAAAAACCAAACAGUCCGGAGAGUCUAAUAAUUACAAAACUCUCAGAAAUAAUCCUUAAUUAAAUAAAAACCAUUAUUUAAAGUCAAUUCACAAACUUGUGGUCACUGUGAGACUCCGCCGCACCAAUCUGUCUAAGUCUGUGGAUUACCUUAAGAGAAUAGACAAACAGAUGUGAGUUUUCGUAAACUCAGCGUGUAACCCAACAGAAAUAGACAUGCAACAUACACGAAUUUCCAUGAUCAGUCAGAUACAGAUUCAGACCUAAGUCCACAACAAAUACAGUUAUCAGAAUCAGACAAAUAGAACAGAUAUAGUGAGUCCUACCCCCAUCCUCUACAUACCAUCUCCAACCAUCCCAUCACACCAUAUAGUGUCGAUGCGACACAUUACAGAUAAUAUGCAGACAAGUUGCCAGAAUAUAGGUGAAGAUUCACUAUACAGACCACUUCCUCCGUAUAUACAAUUCCCACCCCAAUCAACGAUACAAAAUAUAGAUACAGUAAUAUCAUGCAUAACAUACUCAUAUACAGAUCACAUAUAUAUACUUAAACAGAACAAUCAGAUAUAUAUUUCGGUGUCCUACUCAGAGCAGACUAUCAGAAUAUCAGAUCACAUAAUUUAGGGUUUGGUUAGCCCUUAUCGAACCUAUGGUAAGCCCACAGCCGACUGGAAAGACCCAUGCGACCUUAAGGAAAAUUUCAGAAUUAUGGGCCCAUACGUCCAUGUGGUCCACACGCCUAAAUUGGCCUUGCCCGUGUGGCCCACAUGACCUAGCCCAUAACACAUACGCCCGUGUGGGCCCAUACGACCACACUCACACUAACACAUAGUCUUGCCCUACGCACGACCAUGCCUUCGUCAAACACAUGAUCGUGUCUCGUACACGGCCAACCACAAGACAGGAAAACGCCCAUGUGACGUCGACAGUGUAACACCCCUAACCCAUAUCCGUCACCGGAUUAGGGUCACGAGGUAUUACUAAACCCAUGCAUAGAUUAAAACAUUUAUGCAAGUCAUAUUCAUAAAUAUAUAAAGCAUAUAGCUAAUUAAAGGUUAAACAUUAGUUAUUAAUCGUAUUACAAAUACAAACCAACACCUCAUAAUAUUUACUCGAAACCAUGCCAUGAAUAUAAUCACAUUUUCAAACAAUUAGACAUGUCUCAAAUUUAUACAGUAUAUAUAUACAUGCCUUACAAAACAUAAUACUCGAAUUAUAAGUGCAACACCUCAAUAGUAUUUGAAUACCUAUCAUGAAUUAAGCACUUUAUUUCAAAGUUCUAUACAUGCUCAUACACGGCUUGUUGUCCAUAAACAAAUACAGCAUUAACCUCUCCGUAAUAUGUUCAAACAUAUUACAUUAAACAUUAAAACCUUAUGCAAAAAUUUACCACAUUAAAUAUAAAUCAUUCAAGCAUGUUCAUGUGCACACUUAGUAAUUCUUUCCAUCCUCUAUUCGACUACAAGUUAUAAUAUUAAACUUUAUGCCAUUCAUGCAAUACUUAUUUAACUAAUAUUAGCCAUAUUCUAUAUACAUUUUAUGAGUUAAACUUACCAAAUUUUUAAUAGCUAUGUAUCAUGCCAAAUUACACAUGCUUUUUAAUUCAUUCUUUGUCUAAUCGGUCAAUACGAUUAACUACUUCAUUGAUGCAAAAUUUACCAUUCAUUCAUAAACCAAAUUAUGUCAUUAUCUAAUAUUAUUAGAAAGGUCCAUCCACAACCAAUAGUACCGUAAGCAUUUAAUUAUUGAUUUUACCUAUUAAUAGUUGAAUAUAAACAUGCUUAAAACAUAAUCAUGUGAUCAACCAAAUUAACCUAUUUGUAAACCGAAUGAUUACCUAAACAUAGUAAAUUAUCAAAAAUAAAUAAUCAAAUUAAUGUGGCCACACUACUAUCAUUUCGAAUAUAACAUCAUACACCAAAAUAAAAUUCUAUCUUUAACUAAUCAAAUUGACCAUCAAAAUCCGAUACAUAUACAACCUGUCAUAUACCUGUUUACAUAUGAAAUCAAAAUAUCCACCAUUCAAAAUUAUUCCGCAACUCAUACUUCCAAAAUUAGCUAACUAUCAAACCAACUAUUUAUCCUAAUUAUCAUUUCCCUUUGCUGAAUUUUUAAUCAUCAUCCCAAACCUAUAUACUAAUAACAUACUUUCAAAAUAGGUUCAAAUUCUAGCCAUAUAUAUAUAUACUACACACAACUUUAACUUUAUAACCAAAUACCACAUAUAUAAAUGCACCAUGACAUAUACUUUCCUAAUAAGCUAUUAUCAUAACCGAAUACACAUAAGUACUAAUAUCAAAAUUAAGCCAAUUUCCAAUGGCUAAAUAUAUAUACACUUCACGACUAAACAAGACAAGUGCUAGCCUAUACAUGCCAUAUGUUUAAAGUUUCGAGCAUUUAAAAAAAAUACCGAGAUCGAGAUCGAUAGUGUGACAAACUUCCUUGACAAUCCCCGAGCUCGUAACUAGCUUCCAAAAUCUAAUAAACAAUGAAUGAACAAACACACAGUAAGCUUAAAUAGCUUAGUAAGUUGUAAGCAAAUAGUUUUCAAAGUACACAUACAAAUUAUACAAAUAGGUGAAAUUUUACGAAUCUUGUACACAUACAUAUAUACUCAUAUAUAAGUAAUUCAUUCAUCUUAUCACGCUAUACAUAAUACUUACCUUUAUUUUCAACUUCGUAUAAUUCAAACAUACCUGAAAUUGUUCAAUUCAAACACACAUUCGGUUUUGCCAUAUAAUUUCUCGAUAUACCAUUCGGAUUCAAAGAGAAGAUACUCGGAUAUCUCAAAAGCUCGUACAAUGCCAACGUCCCAGAUGUGGUCUUACAUGAAAUUAAAUAGCGGUGCCACUGUCCCAGGCAGGGUCUUGCACGUAAUCAUAUGCGACGCCAAUAUCCCAAACAUGGUCUUACACGUAAAUCUCAAAUCGAUGCCAACGUCCCAGACGUGGUCUUACAUGAUAUCACAUUUCAGCAUUCCUGUGAUUCGUAUGGUUAUCAGAUGUCGUAAAUCAAUCGAAUUAAACUCGUAAUUAAUCCUCCUAUGUUAAAUACAAUUCAACAUUGUAAUAUACAUACAUACAUUUUGAUUCCGCUAUGUAUAAUUUAAAUACAUAAAAUUUAACAUCAAUUAUUUACUUACGAACUUACCUCGGACAAAGAUGAACGAUACGGAACGACUACUCAACCACUUUUGAUUUCCCUCGUUCCAAAUCUGAUUUCUUCUUUUAUUGAUCUAAUUCAAUACAAAUUUGGCUUGUUUAUUCACAUAUUCAGUCAAAUUCAUCCAAAAACACAUAAAUGGGAAAAUUGUAUUUUAGCCCCUAACAUUUCACAUUUUCUCAAUUUAGUCCCUAUUUCAAAACAACUCAAAAUAUUUAAAAUUUCAAUAUACCCUAGUUAGGCCGAAUCUACCUUAGGUCUCUAGCAACCCAAUUUUAUCAUUUAUUUCACAUUUUGACCCCUCAAUUUACAAAAUUCACAAUUUAAUCAUUAAUACACAUUUUUACUAAAAAUCACUUAAUUAAACAUAAUAAUCUAUCAACAAAGAUUAAUUUUUCAUCAUCAAACCACAAAAAUCUCAAGCUAUCAACAAUGGCAAAUCACAAAAUCCACAACCAAAUCAAAAAUUCAAGCAUGGGUUAACUAGUAUUCGAAGCAACAAUCUCAAAAACGUAAAAAUUAUCAAAAAUCGAGCAAAGAACAUUCCUAAUUUAAAGCUUCAAAGUGCCGAACCUAAAACAACAAAAAUGGCUCCUUUCUUCUUCAAGUUUCAAUAAAAACAAAGAUGAAUGCAUGGCCAUUUUGUGUUUUAUUUAAUUUAAUUACAUUUUAUUAUACAUUUACCAUAUUAACCUUAAUGAUAUAACUUUAAUAAUUAACUAUGCAUGUCCAUAAAAGUCCACUCAUAAUUCUAAUGGUAUAAUAUCAACAUAAGGACCCCAUAUUAUAAAAGCCAUAGCAAUAUAGCACUUUAACAAAUAGCAUGCAACUUUUGCAUUUUAUGCGACUAAGCCCCUUUUAUCAAAUUAAGCACACAAACGAAUAAAUUAAAUCACGAAAAUUUUACACAUGUCAAUUCACAUACUAUAAGCAUGUAAAAUAAUAUUAAAAUAUUUUUUGACUCGGAUUUGUAGUCCUGAAACCACUGUCCGACUAGGGUCUAAACUGGGCUAUUACAGACAGAAUACUUUUUUGGCUUUCGUCGAAGUUUGGUUUUUUGUGUUUAGGGUAGACACCUGAUUCGGUUUUUCUACGAAUGCAACCCCGAGGCUUUCAGAACCUAAAACAGAUUACCCAACAAUAAUUUAAAAGAUUGAUUAACGAAUUCAACAAUAAAAAUCCAACACGAAACCGACUUACCGCCGACGACAACCACCGCUAACGCGUACUAAGCCGUUGGAGCACUAACUAUAGGUUCCCCGUCAAAUAUUACACAAAACGUUCUCAAAGAAUUACUUUCCUCCUAGAUUACCCUAUUAAUGAAAAUCCCCACGAACAACAUAAUCCCAAACAAUUAACAGAACUGAAACUUAUAGUCAAACGAAACCCCACUUACCAAAUAUGCACGAUGAACACCGAAAUAUCGAG